AACGACAUUUCAUGAUCGCACACAAAUGGGAGGCAAUCCUUGUAGUAUAAAAUCUAACCCUUAAGCUUAAGGUUGUUAAGAUUGAUCCGAAAAUGAUUGAAAUUGGACUUUGGAUCAAUGAUCAUAAGACUACAGAAAAUUAAGGUCUAAAAGUGAUAGAAUCUUUAUCUUUUCUUCUACACUAACACCUGUAUGUUGUCUUUGAAAAAAGGGAAUGAAGUUCAAAAGUAGAAGAUAAAAGCAAGAGCAUCACCACAGCAGAAGAAGCAGAUCAAUGAAGAAACUCUCAUGCCUAUUAGAGAAAGUCAACUAGAGAAGCAUAUGGGGCAUGAGUAAAGAAGAGAAUAAAACAAACGCAAAACCAGAUAAUGGCAAUGAAAAGAAGAAGAGAGGAGGAUGAAAAAAAUAGAAAAGGCAAAGAGGUAUGUGCUACUCUGUAAAAAAGAAUUCCGUCCCCAACCAGGAAAGAUGGCUGCAGUACAUAGGUGUUGGUAUUGUGCUGCAUUGUUGUCUGUGGACACACAGCAGACCUUUCAUUUACCCCAAUCCAAGUUCUCAUGAAGGUAGAGCCCACUUCCAACUCCACCAAUAAAAGGUUAUUCUUACAUUAGAGAAAAGCUUAUGGAUUCUCCCAAGUCUGUACAGAAAGUAUAUUCAGCCUUGCCACCACCAACAAUUAACCUUCCAUGCAAUCUAAUUCAGGAUGAGGGCAACAUCUCAUUCUUAAUUGAUAAUUCUCUUAUAGUUCAAACCCAAAGUGAGCCCUGAUUAGCAGUUUUGGCGUUUAGAUAUUGUUUUAGACGUACAAUGGGUCAUGCAAAAUAAGAAUUGGAGCCUAAUUUGGUUUACCAUGGGAUUGAGUGCUAAUUAAAUAAGGCAAAGUAGGAUAUUUAGGACCAGGGUUAGAAACCAUUCUACAUCUCCAAUGGGAAUGAUUUUGAUGUGACCAACUUCCAUCGUUUUAAUUGUAUCCCAUAUAGAUAGCAAUCAUAAAUGCAAUUUUCAAGGUAAAAAAAUCUUGUAUAGUUUAUAAUUAACAACCACUAGUCAUAAUGCUCUAGCCAGUCCAGGAGGAACUUAUUAGCAUUCAGCAUAGCAUAACAAUGAAAUACCAUCAAUUUAAGGGCCAAAAUUCCAGCAGCUUAUCAGCCAAAAGCAGAGAUGAAAAGGUACAUAAUUGGACAUAGGUUAACCUCGACAAUCCCAUUCACUCCUAAAAAUAAGUGUAAGAUAUUUCUUUUAGUACAACAAAGUUUGGGAGCAACUAAAUACAGGAAUAACAAUUUAACAUGUAUGAAUGUCCAAGUAUCAGCGUCAUCAAGUACCUGCCAACAUGACACAUGUUGCGUUCAUGCAAGGGAGAAACUCCAGAGCACACCCUAAUUGCAAUGGAGAGGCACAACUCAUAAUCAUAGUUCAUAUUUAAUUGAUCGUAUAAUAGUUUGUCAGAGGUUAGACGAACAUCAAUCCCUGAAUUAGCAUUACCAAUCACUCCCUGGUAGUCAAUCUCAAUUUAUUUUCUCCUUGGUUUCUUUGUUAUGCAAGAAGUAUACUAAGUAAGGCAACGAGGAAAUACCUAUCCAUCUCCAUAAAAGAUAAUGCGAACCCCAAAAACAAAUCUACUAAGUAGAACAAAAAACAAAGAGGAGCCCCAACUCCUGACUUCACGAAACCCUGAAAAGGCGAUAAAACAAAAUAAAACUACUUGACUAAGACAAAGCGCCUUUUUCUCUUUGUCAUCAUAGACCAAGGAUAUUAUCUAAUUUUUCAACCCUUCACUCCCACACGUUUAACUUCAAUUCCAAACAGAGGGUGGGCCCAUCUUGUAAGAGUACAAGUUAAAAGUAUUUUCCUAGAUAGUACCCCAAACAACAAUGUCCAGUUUAUCCAUAGAACUUUGUGCACUACUUUCCUACUAAGCUCAUCCACAUGACACAGCUACUGAGUCCUACCUAUUGAGUUCAGUGUCUCCUCCAAAGCUAAGUGGUCAGGUGCUGAAGACUCACUGAUAUCCUGCCAGAAAGGAUAUCUCCGCAGCUAAUCUCUUCGCUUUAUUACAUAUCUCUCUGUAUACACAUACAGAGGCGCCACCAUUAAACUUCCAUAGGAAUACCAACCCCAACCUUCCUUCCAUCAUCAUUCAAGAAAAAAGAGAAAGAAGAACUACCCACAAAGGCAAAUCAAGCAUUGAAAUUGGAAGGGCGAGCUCGAGGAAUCGGCACAAAAGUCCACGAGCGCCAUCGCUUUGGAGCCCCUCUUCUUCUUUCUAUAAUUGGUCCUUUCCAUUGGAUCUAUCGCAGCAUACCAGAUGAACAGAAACAUCACCGAGAACACCUGAAAAUCGGGGGAAAUAUGUUGGAAAACCCAUCAAUUCCCCAUGACAAAAGAAAAGCAAUCAAUGUCAUCAUGGCACAAAGUAAACGCUAAGGAGUCACCACAAAAGAGUAUAUUGUAGUCAUGGUGAUUCAGCAGCCCCGCUCCCAAGUAACAGUCCCAAGAAGACCUAGAAGGCCACCGCUAGGAAACUGAACAUCGCCAUCCCAACUGUCUGCAAUUGCAAAUUUACAACAUGAGAUCGAUUAACUCUAAACUUCAAAUGUGAUUGAUCGAUCAUCUGCAUCACGCCCUACACAUCCACUCGUGGCUGAUAUAGAGCAUUCAGAACGUCGCCAAUGCAGGAAUUUGACUAAUACGUGCUAGCCCCAGCUCAAAACAGCAAACCUAAGCUCAUGACCUUGGUCAACUCACCAAAUCUUGACAGAACCACGGCAGCCAGCGCGACUUCCAGCUCCAACUGCCUACCCGAUUGCCGCCGAAACUACGGCGCUACCUACUACUGAGCAAACUAAAAUCUCCAAUCCGAAACAAUAACGUCCACCUUAUCCACAGAGCUUUGUGCACUACUUUCCUACUCAGCUCAUCCACAUGCCAUAGCUACUGACUUCUACCUGUUGAGUUUGCGGUCUCCUCCAAAGCUAAGCGGUUAGGCGCUGAAGACUCGCUGAUAUCCUGCCAGAAAGGAUAUCUCCCCAAGGCUAAUCUCUUUGCUUUAUUACAUAUCACUUUGCAUACACAUACAGAGGCGCCACCAUUAAACUUCCACAGGAAUAUCAACCCCCAUCCUUCCUUCCAUCAUCAUUCAAGAAGAAAAAUAGAAAUAAGAAGUAACCAGGUAGGUGAACCAAGCAUCGAAAUUGGAAGGGCGAGCUCGAGGAAUCGGCACAAAAGUCUGCGAGCGCCAUCGCUUCGGAGUCUCUCUUCUUCUUUCUAUAACUGGUCUUAUCAAUCGAAUCUAUCGCAGUACACCAGACGAACAGAAACAUCGCCAAGACACCUGAAAAUCAGGGGAAAUAUGUGGAAAAUCCCAUCAAUUCCCAGCAAACUAAAAUCUCCAAUCCGGACAAUCGAUGAGCUCGCGCGCCGGAGCGACGCGGUUCUAAAAUGCAGAUGAAGCUGAGAGACCACAGGAAAGACGCGUGCGUGCAUUUACUUGGAGCGGAUGGAGAGGGCGUUGCCAGCCGUGGCGUCGCGCCAUCGUCGUCGCCGUCGUCAUCUCCGCCGCGCCGAUCGACCUGCCCGCCUGCCUACGGUGGAUGGGCGGUGGGAACGGUGGCUUCGAUCUUCAGGCCUGGGAAACCACCAGAGCGACUGACUAGUAGCGAGAGAGAGAGAGAGAGAGAGAGAGAGAGAGAGAGAGAGAGAGAGAGAGAGAGAUUCCAUGGAAGUCCAGCCGUCCUUCUCUUCUGCACCGCGUAGCUCCGAGGUCUGCUAACGCUCGAAUAGUAAGCCCCCAAAAUCGUCCCGGGUCUCUUUCAAGCCAAGUUCUCUCAUCUGCGUACGCCUAAAAUUCGACAUGUCGGGCGAUCCUUCGAGAGAUGGGCAUUCAUAUAUACGGAAAUAUCGCAAGUGUUUCAAGUCUGACAAAUUCGGAAAGGCUUUCAAUUUUCUGCACCAUGCAAUAAUAAGGUUCGAUAGUCCAAUGGGAAGCUCUGGGAAAAAUUCAAGCCGAUGGCAAUCAACAAGACCGAGUAUCUUGAGACGGGUUAGCUGGGAAAGAUGGGGCAAAGACUGCCCCUGGUAGGUGAUACAUAGUUCCCUUAAGCCGGAGGGCAAUUCUGGUAAUUCAUGAAGCUUUACACAUUCACUAAAGUAGAGCACCUCUAGCGAAAUAAGUUUGCAUAUAUUACUAGGUAGUCCCUCCAGAUUUUUACAACCGAAAGCUUCCAAAUUUUGCAAUUUUGCCAACAUCCCAAUGUCAUCAGGCAAUUCUGUUAUGCCAGUUUCACUAAUACGUAAGACCUUCAAAUUUUGCAAAUUCCCAAUACUUUUAGGCAAUUUCGUGAUCGAUGUACUUCUUAAGUCAAGCUUGAUCAAUGAUGCCAAAUUUGUAAUAGAAGGAUGAAGCUCUUCUAGAUUCCCACAAUCUCUAAGACUCAAAAUCUCCAACCUUUUGAAAGUGGACAAGUCAGGAGUUCUUUUCAAAAAUCGACACCACUCGAGGUCGAGAACUUUGAGCUCGGUCGCCAUCUAGAAGAAAGAAAGGAUACGUCAGUGUAAUUGGACUGUCACAACCCGUGAUUUUUUGCUACUCCUUAUGUUUUUGACCUUUUAGAUUUCCUCAAAUAUUACCUGUGUUCCUCUACUCCUUCACAAUUGUCCUAUUUAAUUUUAAAUGUCUCCUUUAGUAGUGUUUGGUCACGACAAUAGAUAAAUGUCUUUUAAACAUAUUGAUUGCAAAAGAAUGUUAGGGCGUACAAGUGCUAACUACAUUUAUUUCUGAAUAACAUUUUAAAGGAGAUAUUUGCUUAUUAGACAUGAGCAACUUAUAUUAUCAAAAAAGAAUAUUACAAAUCCAAAUGAAAGAGAGAUGCAAUCAUUGGGCAUCAAGUUUUCCUUUAAUACUAUGAAAUUAAAUAGAAACGACUAGUUCAAUUAUGAAAAUCAAUUUUCAAAUGUUAUAUGUACAAGGAAAAAAAUGUUAAGUUAAAAAAAAAAAAACUUCGAUGCCUUUUUUACAUCUUACCUUGAGUGGAACCCAUCCUCCCCAAUCCUCUGAAAUUUCACUGUUUGACAAAUCGAGUACAACUAAUUUUUUUGGAUGAAAGUUGGCUGCUACAAAAUCCGAGGGACAGCCCUUCCAGUGAAGCCAUCUUAAUUCAGGAAGUAAGCUUUGGAAAUCUCCGAUGAAAUUAGCACCAUCCACUUGAAGAAACCUCAAGUUGGUCAUUUUUUUAAACUUUUUGGCUGUGUAUCUCCUUCCCUUACCACAUUUGCCAAGAGAAAGGGCCUCAAUCUUUUCGGUGCCCUGCAAGUUGGAAACAUUAUGGACCAUAAGUUUUGAAUGAUGAGAUGAGACCAAUUGAUGUAAAAUAAAAUGCACUGAUUUCGAUUUUCGUCAUACUACUAUGACGUAGGCUUCUCCCUUUCAUUUUUGUGAAAUGAAAGGUUGUAAUUGCAUAUUAUUUAUCUAAUCUAUGUAAAGAUGAGAAGCUCAAGCGGUUGUUUCCAAACUUUUUCCUCAUCCAACUAUACCCUUCUGUAAUUUGCACCUUCUGAAUUUCCAAAAUUUGGGUCCAUUUGCAGCUACAAUGGAAGGCCUCUCUUCAUGCAUAUACUAAAAUAUAUUUGUCAAAAUUCAUGCCCUUUAUAUGUGAAAUAACACUUCCUUAACUCCUCUCAUAUAUACGCGAACCAAUACAACUCUAACCAUCCAAAUGCAUCUAUCAAACUUGCCAUCAAUAUAAGUAUCAAGAUUAAAGAAUGCCGAUUGUAGAAUUUCCUCACUUUUUUGGCUUACUUUGUUUGCAUUGUCGAUAUCAAAAUGAAAACAAGAAUGUCUUUGCAAAAGAUACGUGUGUGUUUUACGUUCCUUUCUUAUCAUGUGGUCCUUCAAUGAGGGUUUUCCGAUGUUCUAUACAAUGAUCCUUACUUUUCUUUUUAUCACUACAUAUGUUUGAUGCUAUGUUUUCGUCGUAGUCAUCUAAAUUUUGAUCCAUUUUCCCAUGGAUUAAUGAGAUCUUCUGUCUGAAUAGAUUGGGCAUGAAAAUUGAUAAAAUUUGUAUUCUUAAGGAACUACGAAUCUUCUGCAUAUUUCUUUUAUUGUAACCUAAUAUUUUACAAACUCAAAUUUGUUUCUUGUUUUAGGUGACGAAUUGCACAUUGGCGGUUUCAACUUUUCCUUCAAAAAUUUUAUUCUUUCAUAUGAAUCCCUACUCGUUUUUACAUUAAAAGUUUACUGUGUAUUUAUUGUAUUUUUGUCAACAACUUCACAAAUACCAUUUUUUUUUUUAAACUUCUAAGAAAUGUUCUAUUCAGUUAAUUAUGUUUUUCUUCGUGCAAAAAUAUGCUCGCUGAAAAGUAGUGGUAGCAUUUUUUUCAAUAGUUUUGGCAUAUCAUUAUGUUUUGCAUCCCAUGUUUAUGUUUAUUUUUUGUUAAUUAACGGUUUUCGUGACAUUUGCACAUGCUUGUUUGAUGCUUGUACAAAUUUUCCAUAUGUUAUAAUUGCUUUUAGUGGAUUCCCUUUUAACUUUCACGCUGAUAAAGAAAAUUUAUCAUCACACAAAAUUCAAAACCAUAUAUACUUCGGUUAAUAAUAGCAAAAGUCCCAAACCGAUAGAUUUGUUCGGCAUUUACCCCACACUAAUUUUAAUGUCACAAAAAAGUUCCAAACUGAUAGACCCGUGUCACAUUUACCUCAAAUUAGUUUUCAUUUCACAAAAAUAAGAUAAUGUUUCUAAUGUUAACUAAAUCUUUGCUAAAUAAGAUGCUCACCAGGAAUCGAACAAUAAACAAAUUAUUAUUAUAACAUGAUAGCCUACAUUUAGCAAAUAAAUAAUAUUGGGAGAUUAAUCAAAAAAUCAUCCAUCAUCACAAAAAGAAAAGGUAUUACUAGAUUCAUAGAAAUAAACUGUCCAUUAUCAUGAAAAGUAUAUACAAUGAAAAUAAUAUAUGUUUAAAGGUUUAAAUUAUGCAGUUAAUUAUCCUACAUCAGCAAAUUGACGGUGCCAACUGACGAUUGACCACAAAUGACUCAAUUGCACGAAAAAGUGAAAGUUAGAAGACUAUACUGAGCAAAAGCAAAAAAUAAAUGGGGGACUAAAUUGCACAACCAAUAAUAUUUAGGGGUUAAACUUACCCCAACUUAAAUAAUACAGGAAACAAGAUAGCUAAAUCGUCACAGAUGAUUGGAGGUAUCAUUUAUCAUACCAAACAAUUCAUAAGAAGUCAAUACUACGUGAAAGAAAAAAAAUAAUUAAAAAUAGGACUCGCGGGAAACCAAAUGACGGAUCCAAACAUCAAAAUGUGCAUCAAACAAAUAUGUGGGGAGAGCAUGGCUGCAACAAUUUAUAAAUGUCAGGUUUUCUCGAAAAGUAAUUUGUCAAACAUUCUGCUUUUGUUGUUUUGCUGUUGCAUUAAAGUUACCAAGAGGAGAGUAUCCCCAACAAUAUACUACCGGGCAAAGAUAUAUAUCCUUUAUCCGUAACCAAGAAAUUGAUCCUCAAUUAUGUUCCGAAAUCAGGCAAAAAUAGCAAUUAAUCAAAAUAGCCCUUUUCCAAGUAGAAUCAGUUAAUUUUGGGGAGUCAAGAUUGACGAGUAUAUUUAUUUCAAACAAGAAAGGGGAGAUGAAAUCACAUUCACUUUCUACUAUGAGUAGAUAAAACUCUUACCUUGUUUCCAUCAAUUACAUCUGCGGCCUCCUCAGAAUUCCAUAAUCUACUCCGCUUUUGAGGCUCCUUUGGAUUUUCCAAACGAACAAUUUCCCUUCCAAGAUCUCUCAAUUGAUCAUGCAUCAUCAGUCUUUCGUAUUUGUCAAUUUUAAUUAAGGACAUAAGACUCAAUACUUCAAUCCCCCUCCCCGGGAAAAAACUACUGGCAUCCCACAUGUAAGUUGGAUUUUGUUGAUGUGAUUCGAUGAAAAAGCAUGCAAUAUCCAAAAAUAUUUGUUGUUCCUCAUCAUCUAAUGCUUUGUAACUUAUUUUCAACUUCUCUUGCACUUUCUUUAAUUUCUUUAACGUAUCUUUCCAUACUUCUUCUCUCUUUCCAUAUAAGAAUGAACCAAUAACUUCAAGAGCUAAUGCAAGAGCUAAUGGAAGCCCUCCAGUAGUAGAUUCAAUAUAAUGAGAGAUAAUCUCACAGUCACUCGAAGGAGAAUCCUAUAAUGUAUCUUUCCAUACUUUUUCAUUUGAUUAACAAUACUUGUUGCCCUAGAUUAUCAAAGAAAAAUUUACAAUAGUGAGCAUAUAAUUCAAGAGGAUAUGUAUCAGUCUCAUGGUUUUUAUGUAAGUUUUUUGCAUCGUUUUUAUUAGCUCAUUUACAAAUUUAAAUUGUGUUUACCUACGACUUUUUUCAAAUAAGACAGGUGGUUUAUGAGUUUUACAUUAUAUCAAAAUAGGUCUUACAUUUCAAUCUCUUUGUCCUUAUAUUUGCUAUUUUAAUUAUUAUAUGAUUGGACUUAAAGCUUCAACAUAAGACCCCAUCCCAUUCCCAUCCUAUAAGAAAGAGAUGUGUUGUAGAAAUUAUCUCAAAUAAAUGAAAAUUUUUAAAUAUAUUGACAAUGAUCUUGUAAUGCUUCAUGCUAGCAAUUGUUAUUAGUAGUAAAACAACAUUUUUGUUUGUCAAUGAUAGAUAACAUUAAUAGAUUAAAAAUAAAAACUUGCACCUUUAAAAUUAGAAAAUGACUUUGAUUUAAGGAGAACUAUAAUAGAGAGAGAGAACUUCAAACUAUAUCUAUUAUAGCACAAAUAUCCCAAAAACAAAUAAAUUAUAUCAACAAAAACUUUAAACUUAUCUAUCGUAAUAAAAAUAUACUCAAUUUUUUUACGUCGCGAAAAAACUCAAGCUUAUAUAUGUAUGAUAUGUACACCCUCUAUUUUAAUUACAUCCACAAUAUAUUUAUCACACGGGUCAUAGUGGGCAAAUCAAAGAUUUUUAGUAACCCCCAGUGGUCACCAUUCUAAUAUGGAAGGGGGAGGUGAGGGGUUCAAAUCCCCACAUUCUCAGGGAGAUGGGGGUGGGAACGCGUAAGUUUCAGGAGUGGAUUUCGACUCCCACGCCCUGCAAGAGGCAGGGUAUAAGUCUGAGAGUGAGUGUAGAGUAGAAAUAUAGUAGGACUGACAAAAAAAAAAAGAUUUUUAGUAACACAUAAAAAAAUUCAGGAUAUUUGUAUUGUGAAAUGUCCGCUUUGCUCCCUCGAGCUAAAGGACACUAGAGACCCCCCUCCGUUUGAAGAUUAGCCUCUCCCUUUUCAUUUUUCUUUUGUCCUUUUCUGUCUAUUGGUCGAUCUGAAAGGCCAAAAAGUCAGCUCUGCGCCCCAUUAAUCAAUCCGGAAUUUGUCCGACCAAAAAAAGGAAGAAAGGGAAGAACUUAAAAAAAUGAAGAAGCAGACGUAAAGCGGGUGGCAGGGAAAUGAUAUUUCGAGAAGCAUCGGAGACGUCGAUGCACGCACGAACAGCGGGGCCCCCACGCGUGCGUAAGCACCUUUUCUGUUCCCUUGCUGUGGACGCCACGCCAGGUCGAAAGAUUGGGGGGGAUUCAUACGAUGAAUUUGGGAAUCAAGGGGGUGGGGCCUACUCCCCUUGGCCCUUUUCUGUCCCGUUCCCAUGCAAGGUCCAUUGCACAUUCAUUCAAAGGCGUUCAUAUUAUAGCCAGCAAAAAGGUGGAACGAGACUACUCAUCAUUAGGUCGUCUCGGAAAAAGACAGAAAGAAGAAAACGGGGUUAGGAUCAAUGAAUUCUUCCUUGACGUGCAAGUGGGGAUUGACAACGAAGCCUGGAACUUGACGAGCGGAAGGAGGGGCUUGCACGCGCGAAGGACAACUGGGACGGAACCGGAUUCCAAUACCGUGUUUAGGAAUUAGAGGCUGCUCCUUCCCAUUGGAUCAGGCUUUUGUGACGAAUGAAGGGACUUGCGUAGGCGAAAGGAACUGAAACAGGACCGGAUUCCGAUACCAUGUUAAAAAUUGGAGGCUUCCUUUACUUUGGAUUGGGAUUUUGUCGACACGGACUCCGACAGCUUUAACACCUCUCUUUGGCGGGCUGAUUCCAUAAAAAAGCAUCAACUUUAGGUUGAUAGACAAAUUUGGCCAAAACUUUUUUUUUUGUCUCAUAAAAAAGCACAAACUUUAGGUUAAGGGACAAAUUUGACCUGAAUUUUUUUUUUUUAUCUCGUAAAAAAAACAUCAACUUUUGGUUAAGUGACAAUUUGACCCCAAUAUUUUUUUGUCUAGUAAAAAAUCAUAAACUUUCAGUUUUAUUCAAAAUCUAACCCCUACCAAUAACUUUCUAUUUGAAGUUAACCUUAUUUUAGGAGAAAAGAUUCUAGCCGUGAGGUUAGUGGAUCUCAUUCAUGAUUUCUCUUGACAGAUAGUGAUCUACAAUUUCAUAUUACGACAAAACGAUAAAGUCUAGCAAGAGAAAUUCAAUCUAGAGAUUUUUUCACUUGCUAGUGAAGUAUAAGAGAUGACAUAAUUUCACCAUUAUUCUUCAAGAUGUGGCUCACACAAGAAGAUAAUGGAUGGUGUUGGCUAGCAAGUGCACAUAGAUUUAUUGGUAAGGACAAUCAAUAAAUCUAAGUUAAAAGGGGUCAAAUUUAGGAUUUAAGUGAAAGUUGGUUAUUUUUUUUCGAAACACAAAAAUAUUUGGGCUAGAAUUGCCACUCAACCUAAAGUUGGUAUUUUUUUACGUGACAAAAAAAAGUUUGGGCCAGAUUUGUCACUCAACCUAAAAUUGGUGUAUUUUUACGAGAUUAAAAAAAAAAGUUUAGGCUAGAUUUGUCCAUCAACCUAAAAUUAGUGCUUUUUUUUGGAAUUAACCCCUCUGUUGGGUGGCUAGCUAGUAGCCUUGCUUCGCUUCUCGUCGGUGAAUGAUGAUCAUUGUCUUAAUCGAUGGAGCGAUUGAUCGAUCGAGAUGCAAUGCUCAUUGAUCAACCAGAUGCAAUGCUCAUUGAUCAACCGUGCAAAGAUCUCCAAGCCAUUUGUUCCCAAACCCAAUAGCAGACAAAAGGGAGACGUUCCUGAAUUCAGACCGUACUCUUCUUUUUUUGUUUGAGCUGCUCUAUUACGCGCUAUAUACAUAAACCCUUAGUAUGAAAUUGGGGUUUUUGAUGGUGUUGGGUUGAGAUAUUUUCUCUUUAUUUUCAUCGCAUGCAUUCACUUGAAUCCAACAUACUUGUUUCUACACCCGGAAAGAAAAAAUAGUCGAUUCUACGUUUGUGAAAAUAAAUCCAAGGGUCAGUAUAAAUCAAAUAUUUAUAUAUAUCAUAGGUCUUUAUAAAAAAUACAUCAUCCGGUUUUCUUACCAAAGACAAAAUUGUACUUCAAAAGUAAAUGGAAUCUUUUACUCGUUAAAUCACAAUUAUUUUUUAAUCUUUGAACACUUGCUUUAUUUUUUGCCAAAUAUUAAGCUCAUUUUCCUAAAUAGACUGAACAUUCAAAAACUUAUAGUGCGUUUCGUUUGACUUUACAAAUGAGUUUUAAAUGUAAUGCAAAUGUUAAAAAUCGAAAUCCUUUAGAGAAAUACAAAUUGCGUUUGAUAAAGCCCCUUGUAAAGCAACUUUGAUCAUAUUUACCGAUAAUGAAAAAGAAUUCUUAAUACUACUGGUGAUAUAUCCCCACUCAAUUUGUAUUUAGAUAGAUAAUAUAUAAGAUAUUUGCAAAAAUCAGAUAGGCAUUCGUGGGACGCAGUCGUAGGUUCAUCUCCAAGACGACACAUGUCAAAGAACAAAAUGAAUCGAAAACAAUAAUACCCCAUAAUUUAGUUUGACCUCCCCAUUCAUGUUGUGAGGAUUCAACAAAAGGAAUCACGUCAAUUUCACGCACAAACACACGCAUAUAUACAUAUAUUCCAACCUAAAAAGGGAAAAAAGAGCAAAAAGACAUGCAAAUCAUUACCUUUUCCCAAAUUAUCAGAGACGAGUUGGAAGGAAAUUAAAGUACUACCGACAACGUGGCUAAUAGAAAAAAAUAGAAAAGAAAGAUCGACCACAUAUUUUUCUUCUUUAUUUGUAUUUGUCUCCGUACACAUCUAAAUUUUCUCAAAGUGACCCCUAUGGGACCCUCGAGCCCAUUCCAUGAAUAUACUCAAAACAUUUGUAAUGAUGUUUUUGUGGGGCUGUGGAAGUCAUAUUCUAUUUUUCUUCAGGCAGCAACUAAACGCACCACGGGACAAUCUUUUGCAGUUCAACUACCCAACUUGCUCCGAUUCUCCUACAAAAGGGGCGUUUGGUUUGGCACCGGGAGAGCGUCUCUAGAAAAAUGCAAAGGCUUUAAGGGAUUUUUCAAAAUAUAAAUAACGUUCAAUAAAAUGUAUAUUAAAAAUAAAUUAAGAGGCAACUUUGACUCAAAAAGGGUACGGUGAAAACUACACCUUGUAAAGUAGCUAAUCUUAAAAGAAAUAAUUUAAGAAUUUUUCCUUGAAUUAUUGUCAUUUUGCUGCUUGGGCAGCACGGUGGAAGAUGGGAUCCAUACCUAGCCACACCGAGAUAAAUUUGUUGAACCAAGAUGCCAAGAUUUUUCCAAUGCCUUGAUCUUAAGAAGUCAAUUAAACUUUAACCCAUCUUGGUGCAUUCACGAGUCUUUAAAUGUCAAAGAUGGAGGGUCAAAAGAGCCAUUAUCAUAGGGGGGAAAGAGAAAGGUCAUGAAUUGAAGUUCAUGCAUUUGCAAUUCUUGAUACGUCACGAAAGAAAAAUGUAUGAUUAUGCGUCACGACAGGUUGAUGAUCUUUUACAUCAUCACUACAUCCAAUUAAAUUGUAGCCCUUCAUAUAAAUUUUUGCUUGCCAACUUGGGAAUGUCAGUGCAUGUGCACCGCCUGGUCUAAAAGCUUGUGAUCGGUGAUCACUCUCGAUCAAAGUGGCUAAGUUUUUCCAAUCCCCUAUAAAAACAAAUGCGUCAGCAUCAUGAUGAUCAACUCGGCACCUCAAAUCACGGGUUACAUUUAGUCCCCCCUAAUCCUCAUACAACAAAGGAAAAAGCUGUCCAUCUAUUUCAAAAGUAAAACCAGUCCACUAACUUUGUCCUUAGAGCACGCAAUUCUAGAUGUUCUAAAGCCUCAACAUGGAAACUAUGGGAUAAUGAUAUAGGACCGCGUUGUUUAUAUAAAAGAUAUGGGACUGUAUGGUUAUCAUUUGUGGGUUUUUGGCCCACUGGUAUAGGAAGAUUCUCUUGCUAUAGUAUUAUCAAGUUGUUGGACAAAUUGAAGAUCAUAAUAAUUUAGGCUCGUCUCCAAACAAUGGAUGAAUUGAUCUAAUUUCCAUGAACAAUGUACUACUUCGUUGGAUUUGAUUUAAAGUUAGCCCCGCCUUUAAAGCACGUUGCUAAUCGGCUUGUAAGUUCUAUGUUAUAUAUAUACACACACACAUCAGUCUAAGUAAAGAUCUAAGGAGUUUUAACUUAUUCCAUCGUCUGCAUGUAAUCUUGGCAAGAGGUUGUAUCCAAGUGCUGUCUUCUUCGAAAUGGGGAGAGCAAGGAUUUGAAUUGUGGAUUUAAGAUGAAACGUGAGAAGAAAUUCUUUUAGGAGCUAUUAGGUCAUCGUUAUACGUGACCAAACUUUCGCAUGCAAUUCUCAUCCUUAGUCUAAGGCCUUCUUGUCUCUAGAUAUUAUUCCGGAUUCAGUGCUCUUUAAGUAUAGCCAAGACGGUACGUAACCGUAUCAUGAAGCGUAAUGAUUUGCAUAUUUGAUAAUACAUGUUUUAAACCUACUUUAUCUAAAAACACGAUCAGAUAACUAUUCCUCUUGCAACUAUGAGAGGUUGUCAAAACCUUUUAGAAUUGUAAUGUCCUAUUUUUUCAGUGCUAUAAUUAUUGCUAAAUUGAUUUGAACAAUUAAGCUCUUGGUCUGCAUUAUUGAGUGUCUUCACUUGUGAUCGAGGACCACAUAAUUUGCCAAAACUUUUUGGUUUCAUGUCAAAAUUAAGGUAUGACAAAAUGAAAAUUGAAAAUAUGGAAAAAAAAUUUCCCGAAAAGUCUUAAAUCUAUUAUAUGGUCACUUAUUCAAUUUUAAACUUUCUAAUUUGGUUAAUGAAGUCCUAAAAUUUUUGAUGAUUUUUCAAUGUAGUCCAUUAGACUAAUUUUGAUUGGAAAUCAUUGAAAUGGCAUCUAGUCAAUGCCGAUCAUCCUCAUGGCACAACCGGUGAUAUGACGCGUACAAAUUCAUUACAAAACAUCUUCAUUUUGAGAAUUUUUUUUAACUUUUUAUUUUUAUUUCCUCAUUAUCAUCUUCCUAGAGUGUCGGUGAGGUCGUUUGGGCUUUGCAAUGGCCAACGACAGGUGAGGACCUUUUAAGCCCUUGUUGUCAAAGAGCAAGGGCUUUCAAAUCCUUGCCUAGAUGGUGAGGUCCAAGUUGUGAUAGGCGAAGGUGCUGAGGUGGUUGAAGGAGAGCCAGUCACACUUUGGCAACCUCUUCGGCAGCAUCUGCUUGUUCCUUUGGGUGAAUCCACCCCCGGUGAAGAACUUGAUUUAGAAAUAUGCAAAUCUAAGAGUAUUAAUUCGAAUUUUACCAGAAAUAAGACGACUUGUGAUUGAAUCUCUAGCUCUUUGCAUCUAAAGUGAUCCAUAAUCAAAUUUGUAAGGGUAACCUAAAGGGACUAGUCAUGCUGAUAAAUGAGUGGACUUUCGUGUCUCUUGAAACAUGAUGAUUCAAGUUAUUGAUGAGUUUUUUUGAACAUUUACAAAAAUAAAUGUUCAAGUGUCUAGUUGGAGAAUAGGAUUUGUACACUGUUCGACCAAUCAAUUAUAACUUUCAAUAAGAGAAAAGUCAUGAGAUCCAUAAUAUCAAAUCGGAAAGGCUUUUUAAAAUUCCAUACUAUAUUCCGAGGACCCUCGAGGUUGUUUUUGGCCUCGAAAUUAAUCAAUUUCAUGCAUUAGGACCAUUUUCUAUGUUAGUGCUAUUCUAGGAAAAUGCUUUUGGCGCAUUCGCUAUUUAUUGAGUUAACUUUGAAUUUUAGUUUCUAAUUCGGGUUGAUUAGGAGCAUAUCUAUGAAAGGAAGCAAUCCAUCCUUGCACCCAUUAUCUAUAUUAUAUGGAUCCACUAUGAGGCAACUAACCCCUGAAAGAAAUUCCAACUUAGAAUAUUUUAUAGACCAAAGUCAUCAAAGUCUAGAUUUUGAAAUUCCAACCCCUGAUUAACGUGUUAAUCCAUCCGAGAACACGUUAAUCAGAAGUUUAUCACCACUAAAUUGCAUGAGAUUUUGACUGACGGCUCGUCAAUGACCACUUAAACAGCUCUGAAAUUUCCACACCCGCUUUUUGCCUUGUCGGUUCAAAAGGAACCCGUCUCUGGAAUGCAUAACCCGCGGUUCAAUGCAUAAUCCUCGAUUAACAGUAUGGUCUGUCACCAUCACCAUUUUGAAGAAUAUAAUAAGAUGUCGUAACAAAAUUGGUACACGACCGUUUCAGCCCACCAAAAAGAAAAAUUAAAAAAAUAAAAUAAUGGGAUGGUUGGUUGGUCAAAGGGGUUUGUAAAACGUGGCACUUUGCGAAAUCCAGGUUCAAUGUUGCUCCUUUUAUUAAUUUUAUUAUUAUUUGGAUGAACCUUUAUUAAAUCAAAUUUGGACAAUGAGAUAAUAUAUAGGUUCGGUUCCUUGAAUUUAGGUGGUUAGCCUGGAACACAAAUGUUUAGUGAAGCAAAUUUGUUAGAGGAAAAUUAUCAAGCGAACUAUAACUUCUAAGAUCUAAAUGUUUGGGAGGAAACUCAACAAAAUUAGACAAAAGUACUUUUCGAUAAAUAACUACCCAUUUAAUUUUAAAAAGAUAUUCUUGACAAAGCAUUUGUCGUUGGAAAUAUGAUCAACGAUCUCUUUAAAAAGGAAAAAGAAAAAUGAAACUCCAAAAUAAAAAAGGAUGAUGCUUGGCAUGAAUUGAAAAUUAUAGACGAUAUUUCUAUAUUAUGUUAUAUCACAAGUAAUGAGUGAGCAUUUACACGAGUAGAUCAACUUUGAUAUUUAAAUUGAGUCUUAUAUGUCACAUAAAUGAUCAAACUUGUAAACUAUUAUUAGCAUACGCAGCUUUAUUAAAUAAAAGAAAUGAAGUUACAACUUUUUUAGGGCAAUCAUUGAGUAGCCAAAUAAAGCAAUCGUACAAUUCCGAUAAAAUGGCUGAUCUUGUAUUAUAUAAGAUCGACACUUUGAUGGUUGAAUUAUUCUAAACUAGAUCUUAUUAACAAGUAUCCCAGCGACAUUAGUUAAAGUAUUUAAAAUUAACAAAAACCUAUAUCAACCAAUUCUGAAAAUUGAAGAGGUAUAUAUUUUAAAAAAGGCGACACUCUUUUGAUAGAAAUGUUUAUAUUUUCAAAGCACAAUUGAUGAUCCUUAACAAAUGUCUCCCGUUUUUUUUUUUUUUUGGUUGGAAAUGUCCCCCGUUUGCCAAGCGUUCUCAAGAUGGUGGUUAAUACGAAUUUUCUUUUAAGCAUUGCGAUUUGGAUUUGUUUUAUUUUUCUUAUUUUCUUAGGCAUUAGUCAAUGAAGAUGUUAAUGGGGUUUUAACUUUAAAGACAAGAUUAGCCAAACCACGGCUGGAGUCAGAAUUGAGCUUCGGAGGUUGAAGUCGACACAAAAGCAGUUUUUGUCGUUUAGUGCAGCAAGAGAAGCGUGCGGUGCAGAUGAGCAGGUCAACUUGGACAACUUUUCGAGUGGAUACGAUGGAGUGGUCAAAUUUUGUUCUCCCCAAACACGGACAAGAGCUGUUUCCUGUGAAUGUUCAAUGCACUAGAUACAUCUUGAGCACAGACGUGAAAAAUUGACCAAAAUCAAUUGAUGAGACGGAAGUUUCCUCAGUUAUCGACGUGAUUUAGUCAUUUCUUUAAAUAUUAAUUUUAAUUCGGGAGAAAUUUGGAAUGACGGUAAUUCCAUGCAAUGUUGAAGGAGUCUUUUUAUCAACCCAUAAGAGUUUAAUCAAGGACUUUUAUUUGGUACUCAAUCUUUUAAUUGGAUGAUAGCCAUGAGAUGGGCUUGCAUAAAAUGAACCAGUUACCACAAGAAUAUGCAAUCCGAUAAAAAAGACGACCAUCCCAUAACUUAACUUUGUAUUAUUCACACUGUCCUUUUGAAUGGAUAAACUGAAAAUGCUCGAAUUUGAGAGGAUCGCUAUUAGUUUUAUGGUCUUUGCUUAGGUUUUUGCAUUUUUUUUUUCAUUGGCUAAUUUAAAUACUUUAAUUGCCCAACCGUUUACACUUUUUUGAUAAAAUAAAAGGUCUGUGAUUUUUCAGGAUAUACCAAAAGAGGAAGUCUAACAUUUAGAUCUCCCCGUUCCUUUUUAUUUGCUUCAUUAACUACAAGACGAUCGGACAUUAAACUUCAAUACAAGACCAUAUCCCAUUUCCAAACUAUAUGCGAGAGACAAAUUCGAGAAUUCACAUUAUUUUUUAUAAUUUGAUAGCAAUCCUCUAAUGCUCCAAGCUAGCAACUGUUAUUAGUAAAACAAUCCUUUCUCUUUUUAAAUCAAGGAUAGAUAACUUUAGUAGAUAAAAGGGAAAAUGACACAAAUAUAUUAAAUUUUUGCGCAUGAAAAUCACACCCUAGCACUACUACUCUUCCCAUACCUGUCCACAAAUUCGAACUUUAUAUGGCUAAUUAUUUCAUAAUGAAAAUAUAAAUGCCCCGAGUUCAAUACUAUCACAGCUGGUGUGUCAAUAAUAUUGUCCACACUUCUAGUUGAUCAAAGGAAAACUCGAGAUAUUAUAGAUUUCCGGAUAGUUAAGUCUUUCAUUUGUGAAGAUAUGUCAUUAGGCUGCAAAUAAGUGAAGAUAAAUUCGUCUUCUUUGGCACCCAAAUUGCAAUUCAAAUUUGUUAAGUGAAGGAUUAAAUUCAUUGGAUUUCUUAGCUACAAUGCCCACUUUAUCAUGUGUAUCUAACAUCACGCCCAAAUACAUUUCUCAGUGCAACAUGUACCAUGUUUAAUGAACAAAACUUAGAAAAAGUAAAAAGAAUGAUAUAUACGUGAUUAGUGAGGACCCACUGAUCGAAUGAUUCAUAUAUUUUAGUUGUCCACUAGAUUUAUGUAGCAUAUAACUAAUAAAAAUUAUCCAAAACGACAAUACUCCAUUCAGGUUGUGAGGAAUCAAUGAGACGAAUCACAUCAAUUUGACGAAAAAGAACAGGAAAUUUCCAAUCGAAAAGGGCAAAAGAGCAAAGUGACCUGCAAAUGGGUAGCUUUUUUUCCAAAUUAUCAAAUGCCAAGUUGUUAGGAAAAUAAAGCACUACCGACAAUGUGGCCAAUAGGAAAAGAGAGAGAGAGAGAGAGAGAGAGAGAGAGAGAGAGAGAGAGAGAGAGAGAGAGAAAAGAAAAGAUCAACAACAUAAUUUUCUUGAUUUUUAUUUGCCCCCAUAGACAUCUAAAUUUUCUCAAAUUAUCCCCUACGGGACCCUCAGGCCCAUCCCAUGAAUAUUCACAAACAUCAAGAAUGAUGUUUGGUGGUGGUACUGUGCGGUCAUAUUCUUCCGAUUCAGACAGAACAGCAACUAGCAUGCACCAACAAGGAGACAAUCUUUUGUAGUUCCCCUACUCAACUUGCUCCUGUUCUUCUAGAACGUGGCCGAUCUCCAAAAGAACUAUAACAGCACAAGAUAGCACGACAGACGAUGGGUUCCAUACUAAGCCACCUCAAGAUAAAUUUCUUGGGACCAAGAUCCAAGAUUUUCCAAUGUUUUGGUUAAUUCAGGAAGUAGAAUUCAGUCGACCAAUCUCGUUGGAUUUACAGGUCUUAGAUGUGGGCAUCAAGGUCACGCAGAAAUGUUAAGGAAAGGAAGAGGCAACAUUAGGGUUUUGGGGUUUGUCAAAGAUGGAGGGUUCAAAAGAGCUGACAUUGUCAGGGGAGGGGGAACGGAACAAGGGUCACGGAUGUAAAGUGCAUGCAUCUGCAAUUCUUGAUACAACAAGAAAAGAAAAAUGCAUUAUGUGCAUUCAACGAUAGGGCAUUUGUCAUGAAAUGCAGGUGAUUUUUGAAGAUGUCCAUGAGUAUGGGCUAGAGUCAGAGAAACCCUCCUCACCAUAGCCCAAGUUGAGCCCUUUUUUUUUGGGAGGGGAGAGCAUAAUUCCCAGUCGAGCCUUCGUUCUAACGGAGAAAGGUGAGAAUUCUGACCACAUCCGCAUCAUUGAAAUAAUUAACGAUUAAUAAUAUGAUUCAUUUAUCAAGAUAAAAAAUUGGGUACAUAUCAAUGUGUAAAUUUCACUCGGGUAAUAAUUUUUCUUCAUGUCGUGAGUAUAUCCAAUGAAAGUCCAGAAGACUUUGCUCUAGCCUUUAAUUGAUUGAUCAACACCAGCUGUAAAACAAUUUUUUUACCACUAGACAAAUUGUAGACCUUAAUUACCAAGCAACGCGUGAUGGGCGAUCAUUCUCGAUCAAAGUGCUUAUUUUCUUCCAGUCAGCAUCUCCACAAAAAUACAAUGCGUCAGCAUCGUGUUGAUCGACUUGGCACCUCGAUUCUCGAAUCAUGGGUUACAUUCAGUCCCCUCUACUCCUCAGACAAUAAAGCAAAUGCUGUCGACUUAUUACAACCAGUCCACCCGACUUUGUCCUUGGAACACGCAAAUCUUGACGUUUUAUAGCCUCAACAUGGCAACUACGCGAUAAAGAUGUAGGAUCAAGUAGGUUAUCAUUGUGGAUUUUUGCCCACAGAAGAUUCUACACCUAAAUUACACUCAAGUUGAUGGACUAUUGAAGAUCAUAACAAUUCAUGCUAGUCUCAAAAAGGUGGAUCGAUUGAUCUAAUUUUCAUGAGCUGAAUUGAGCUUUGGUUGAUUUGAUUUAAAGUUCUAAUUGACCAUUUAUGAGUUUUGAAAUCAAAUUAAUCUUACCCCACAUUAAAAGCACGUCACUCACUGAUCUCAAAGUUCUAUGUUAUAUUUCACCAUUCUAAGUAAAAAUUUAAGGAAGAGUCUAAUUUAUCCUGACGUCUACAUGUAAUCUUGGCCAAGAGGUUGUUGCCCGAGUGGUAUUUUCUUUGAAUUGGGGGUGAUCAAGGAAUUGAAUAGUGGAUUUCAAGAUGGUGCAUGAGAAGGAAUUCUUUUAGGAGCCAUUAGGUCAUUGUUAUAUGUAUCAAAAUCUUUGUGUACAUCUUCAUUUUCAUCCUAAGGUCUUUUUGUGUCUCUAGAUGUUAUCUUGUAUUCAAUGUUCAUUAGGUUGUAUAACUAUGACUGUGUUUAACUAUAUCAUGAAGUGUUAUGAUUUGCAUAUUUUAUAACAAAUGGUUUAAUACACAUAUUUAUUUGAACAGCCAAGGUGUAGAAGAGCAAUUAGCGUGGCUAUCUUUGUUCAGUGAUAUCAAGACGGUUUUAUGCCCAUUUUAGAAUGUUUGGAUUUCAUACCGACUUGGUUUGGAAAGAUGCAAAACUUAGAAUAUUAAUUAAAAUUUUACCAAAUAUAAGAGGAGGUUGUGAAUAAAUCUCAAGUACUUUGUAUUUAGAAUGAUUAAGUACCAACUUUGUCAAAAGUUGAAGAAAAGUAAAAUCGACCUAAAGGAAAGUGGAAUUUGCACGCCUCUAAAGCGUGAUGUUACAGGUUGUUAAUUGGUUUUUCGAGCUUUCAGAAAGAUAGAUAUCAUUGAGUUUGCAAAUGCAAUUUGCACAUUGUUCAACUAGGGAAUAUGACAUUUGAUUAGAGAAGACUUAGGAGAUCCACAUUAUCAAUCCACAAAACUCCUUCGGACUUCUAUAUUAUGGCCUCGAGGGGAUCUUUUGAGGUCAUUUUUGGCCGUAAAAUCAAUCAAUUUCUUGUUAUUUCACGACUAGUUGUUCAUUUUCGGGCUAUUUUUAGGCAAAGGUUUUUGCUGUGUAUUCAAUCAAUUUCGAAUUUUAAUUUCUAUAUAAUUACUAGACUGUCGAUGAAAGGAAGCGAUCCAUCCAUGCAUCCACUUUGUACAUUAUACCGUAUCUGUCAUCAGGCAACUAAAGCAAUACCGACUUGGAUUAUCUUUUAAACCAAAGUCAUAAAAGUUUAGAUGGAUAUACUACGUUAAUCAGAAGUUUAUGCGAAGAUUAAUGACGAAUCCACGACUCAUCAUCGUCGUCAUCAUUAUCAUCUCUUCCUCCUCAAAGUCUACUGAAUAAUGCUGUCAAAUUUCCACUUCCGCUUUUGCCCGGUUGACAAAUUGCUACGCAUGGUUCAAUGCAUAAUCCUCGAUUGAGAGUCCUGAAUGAACCUAUCCAAUUUAAAAAGGGAGCUAAUGGGUUUGUCACCAUCUCCAAUUUUUUGAAGAAUAUAAUAAGAUGUUGUGACAAAAUCGGCACACGACAGUUUCCGUCUACCAAAAAAGAAAAUUUUAAAAAUAAUGGGAUGGUAGAUUAAUCAAAGGUUUUGUUUAAACAUGGUAAUUUACGGAAUCCAGGUUCAAUGUCGUUCCUUUUUCUUUAAACUUUAGUAUUUGGACGACCCUUUAUUGAUUCGAAUUUGGACAACUAGAUAAGAUAUGUAUGUUCGAUUCCUUGAAUCUAGGGUUAGCCUGCAUAAACAAAUGCAGAUUGCCCAUGAUCCUGUGGACAUUUAGCUUGAAGGAUUUCUCUUCCAUUCCCAUGGAAUGUUCAUUGCACCGGCAUCUCUUUUUAUGGUUUGCGUUGUAUUCAUGUGGAGAUAGAAACGAAUGUUGGUGGGAGUUGGUAAGUUGACAAUUGGACUUCUCUUUUGGAGGGCUUGUCGCGGACGGUCGAAUAGCAACUCGAUUACAUUCCAUUUUCACAUAGAAUUUGAUAUUAAAUAUAAAGAUAUUUUACUAAUUGAGACAUCAUAAAUAUAUAUUCUAUAUACGUACAUAUGAUCCUGUGGUUGAUCAUUAUGGAUGCAUUUGAACGAAUAGACUUUCAUAUCGAAAAGAACAAAACCAGAUAAGAUAAAAUUUUCUGUGUCACAUAUGAUUUUUGAUAAAUAGAUACAACAAUGCAUAUAGAUGUAAACUACCUUGCAUCCGUGAGAUCAAAUUAAGCAGAUAAACAAGCUGACGUGAUUCAAAGAAAGAAAGAUCUCGUGAGACCGACACUAUUCAUUGAACUAUGGUCAAGCCACAGAUGAACUGCCUGGCAUCUGUGCGACUGUCCCAAGGUGGUUGCUUGAGGACAUGACGAGGUGAUCAUGAUUUUCUAAAUUGAGAAUCCGCCGCUUGCACACCAAGAAACAUUAACCUAUUUAUAUAACUUUUAUUUCUUACUUUUCACAAUAUCCAAAUCUUAAAACUCACAUACUUUCGACUUCUUUUCAGGAGAAAAAAAACCCCAAAUGGCUAAAACUUUCAUGGCAGUCAAAUUGUAACAUGUAGAUUCACUAAUGAGUUUAUUCAUAAUUUUCUGAAAUUUAAAUAAUAUUUUUAAGUUUCGGCGCAAAAGUAUGGUGUUCCAAAUCUCCCCACCUGUUGAGGUAAAGGAUCGGCCCAUUUUUUUUUUUCUGAGAGGAUGUAGCUCCUCUUUGUAUUAGUGUUUCUAAAUGGGUUUACAAUUGAUGGUAUAUAACGUGGUGGAAUUCCCCUUUUUCUCACGGACUGAACUCAAUGCGAAAAACAAGAAGAGUUAAAUGAGAAUUCCGUGAGCAAUGAUCGCAUCAUGGGAUGCGGCGCACAAGGCCCAUUACGGCCCAUGGUAACGGCACAGCCCGUUCCGUCGGCUAUUCUAAAACUCAGAAUAUGCAAUAAACUGGCCAAUUACCAUAUCUGACACAAAUUCGUUUCGCAAAAAAAUAUUUUCCGGAAAAAAUUUCUUUAAAUGAUUUCUUCUCUAAAAAUUGGAUAUCAUUUUUCAAUUUACAUAAACUUUUGGACUAGAAACUUUGUGUUUGGACGUAGGAAUUCACUCCUAGGCCCUUGGCAGUGGGACCGGGUCUAUUGAGAGCAAGCUUGGGUCCAUUGAGGCAGGGCCUAGGACCCCGACGCUUGGGCCCCAGUCCAUUGAGGUUGCACCUUGGAUUCCCAUGCUUGUGCCCAUGACCCUGAAGUCCCUGCCCGGGUCCAUCUAAGUCGAGCCUAAGUACAUCAAGGCUAGGCUAGGACCCCCAUUCAUGGACUCAGUCCUCAAUGCCGGCUCCCUGAUUUGUUGAAGCCCAAACACUUAGGAUCGGGUUCUUAAAGCUUGUGCCCGGCUCCCUAAGGCUUGAGCCCUAGUCCAUUGAGGUCAAGCUUGGCUUCUUGGUGCCCACUUUGAGGUCCAUUGAGGUUGGGCUUGGGACCCCGAUGCCUAUGCCUAGGUUCCUAGCACCCUAGCCUGAGUUCAUUGAAAUUGGGCUUGAGACCUUGGUGCCCGUGCUUGGGUCCAUCGAAGCCGAGCCUAGGACCCUGGCGCACGUGUUCGAGCUCCCAAUGCUAGGCCCAAUACUUAAGGCCCCUACUUGGAUCUCCAGUCCAUGAGCUUGGGACCAUCAAUGUUAGGCUCGGGUCUAUGAAGGUUAAGCCUAGGACCCUAGUGCCAUUGCCUGGAUCCUCACCACUACUGUUGGGGUCUUAACCUUGCCUCAAUGGACUCGUGUCCUAUGCACAAGGGACCUCCUUGGCAUCAAGGCUCGAGGACAGCUUCAGUGGACCUAGGCAUGGGUGUCAGGUCGAGCUUCGAUGGACUUGGGCAUGGGUGUUAAGUACCCGGCCUAGGCCUUUUUGAACCAUAAAGCAAUCAAUUUUAUUGCUUGGAGUGGGAAUUCGGAUUAAGCAAUAUGACAUUAUAUAUAAGUGAUCUGAACUGCGAUAUGUUCUAAUCUAGUUAUAAUGGAGAACUUUUAUAGAUAUCAAUUAGUCAAAAUAUUCUGAUCGAUUGCUGGAAUGAUCAAGAAAUUGUAUAGAAUAGAGACUAGAAAAUUUGCGAGAUUGCAGCCCAUGAUCAAAUUGUCCUCCUUAAUCCAAUUAUAAUUGGUUUGAGCAUUAUUGCAUCGCGUUCAUUCCCACCUCAUCCCGCAAUCUGUUUGGGCAACAUCCUAGAGUCUGAGUAAUUUCACUCCCAUCAAAAGAUAAGUACAGGCUUCCUUCGUUUUCGAUCGCAGUCUUGGUCAUCAGCCACUCAAGAAAGUAUUAUACUCAGUCGAAGCAACAAAACUAGUGACUCACUAUACAGUCCAUGUGUAUCAUUCGCAACAUUUACUUCCCACUUUUGUUUGCGCUAAAAAAUCACCUCCUCAACAAAGAAUGGAGAUCUAAGGGGCGACCUCGACCUAAGAUUAUGGCACAAGCCCGACCAAAAUGGCUAAGCGCAAAUAAUCAGAGGUUCUGCGGGAAGAAGGAUCCAUUCCAACACCACCAUGUCCUUUGACUGGGUGAGCCAACACGCUCUUCUCGGUUUGGUGCUCUUUGAGUAGGAAUCGGAUACUCGCUUAUCGUAAUUUUUAAUGACUUUGCUUUGACCCGUCCAUUCUCGAUUACUUGUAACUGCAAUCAAUCUUGAGCAUCACUCUUCAAUGCUGGAUGAUCUUCCAUCAUCUUUGCAGUGUUCAAUACAGGUUCCAACAAUGACAACUACAAUGUCGCGUACGUGUCAAAAGACAACAAUGACAACUGCAACACCGCUUCUCCGUUCACCACCCUAAGCAACAGACUGACGGCCUUUUCUGUCGCUGCAGCUGGCGAGUAUUGCUUGCAUCUACACUUUCCUAAAGGUGUCCAUUGCUCUCGUGGCCAAAAAUUGGUGGUCACCAUCAGUGAAACUUCCAUCGGCCCAACCUCUAGUCCAGCGAGAUCUCUGUCACUACUAGACACAACCACCGGCAACACCACAACUCCACCACCACCUGGAGCCUGGAAGUGAUGCUUCAUCUCUCGAUGUCACACAACAUUGGGAUUUGGCGGCAACUUUUCUCAACAAGGUCAAGCGGCUUUUCCAAAUUUGUCACCUGAGUUCAAAAUCUCAUGAUUGUGCCGUUUUCAAACUGACAAUUCCCGUUGGCUGGUCUAUCUUUGCCAUUGCCACCAGGUACUUCUAAAGUGCAUUAAGGAUUCAGGUUCCAUGGGACAAGAAAUGGUUUCACAAUGCCAGACAAUGAUGCUUACAGCUACAACAAAUUUAUGAGCAGAAGUUGAUUAGGCCAAAAAAAAAAAAGUACACAUAUAUGUCGACCAGAAUGUUUACAGAACAAAACGAUGAAGACAACAUUCUCGAAUCCAUGACAAAUCUUUGGCUUUCAACACACCAAACCCUCUUUUAUACAUAUUAAGAACUUGUAUCCAAGUCCAGCAGCCAUGCCCCAAUCAGGGAUCACAGGCAGAGAAGCUACUUAGGGUUAAAUGAGGGGUCUAGGCAAUCAUUCAUAAAGUGUGACACCGAUAAAGAAAAUCAACAAAUGUUCCACAUAAUCAGACCUGGAUACUGAGGCAUAACAGCCUUGCAAGUCUCUUGAAGGUAAUCCUUGAGCGAUACUUCAAAACAACGAUAAUAUUCUGCAGAAAACAGAUUGAGUCACAUUUGAGUGCUGUUCCAAUGAAAAGAAGAAAAACGACAAGUUCUGUAAUUACAUGUUCAAUGAUUCUCUGAAAAGGCUCCUAGAAAGGUAGCUUGUUAUGCCAAAGAGAAGCCAAAAUUCUUCUUUUGACAAUGAUUGGGUCCUGUCUAAUUCCCAACAAGUGCCCCUGCUAGCACGUUUUCUCAUUCUCAAAUUCACCUUUGAAAGUUCUUUUAAAGAGGAGUCCGCUGGAGUCUCCAAUGUGAUCAAUUGUUUCAGCAGCAACCUACAUUAACAUAUCAAAGGUAUGGUCGACCAAAUCCUAUGGCACAUUAUUGAGAUAUUGCAAGAUAUACAAUCAAUUACCUAGCACAAUUCAAAGAUGGUACCUAAAUUGGGGAAUUUCUGAGAGAUGUUUUGCCUCUAAAGUUGCAUUAAGAAGGCUUGAUUGCAUAGGAUCAUGUGGUGAGAGAACUAAGUACCAGCAGAUUUUCCUUAGAACCUGCAUUUAAUUAAAUCACAUUACGAACAGUUCUGCCUUCAAAAACUCAGUGAAGACUUAACAAGGAAAGAGCUUCACCCAUAUCCACUGCUCUGGGUUGGGUUGCCCUUUACUGAUGGAAUCUCAUAUAGCCCCUUAUGGUAUCGACAAAUAUCAAGGCAAUCAUUGUUAUGUGAGUAAUACCUACAUUGUUAUCCACAUAAAUGUGAGGUAACCUGAGAUGGGAGUUCAAAUCCAUCAAGUACAUUUGGAACAUCAGAGUUUGGGAUACAACUAGAAAGAAAAAAGAGUGUGUGCCAGAUAUAUAAAGCCAUACAAGUUCAUGGUGAACCACAACCCGAUACCAGGUGGCAUUUGAUCAGCAAAAACAAAUUAGUCAAAGAUAGUGGACACAACAUUCGAAAAGCAAAACACCAAUUUACCAUAUCAUGAGUCAUCGCCUAUCCGUUUCAACUCCAGAAGAGAUGGAAUAUCAGCUGACGCUUGCUCCACGAUGUUUUCACCUUCUUUAGACUUUUUCUUUUCUAUGGAAGGAUCUGCAUCAAACACUCGGGAGUUGACCUUCCUGGAAAUGAUACGUGCACAGACAUAACCCUUACACAGAUGAACCUGCAAAAUCCAUCAGUCAGAAAACCAAUCAUACUAAUAAUGCAUGAAUGGCUAAAAGCAAUACAAAAGACCCGCACUUGUUAAAAAAUAAAGGCAAUUUUCUCCGUCUUUGCCUUUGCUCCAAAAGUUCCUACCUGCAUUUCAAACCGUCAUAGGAAUGUAGGAUAAGGGAAAACCAAUUACAAGAUCAGUGAGAAUAGAAGUCAACUUCUAGUUACCCACAUUUCUUGCAUCAAAUCAGUAAUGCUAGAAGACCCUGUUUUUCCUUUAUUUUUGCAAGUUUCUUGAACAAUCAUGCUCUCUCAAUUUCAAAAUAUAACUACAUUACGAAACUAGCUACAGAAAUCAUGAAAUAAAAGCAGAUUGCUGAUGAACAUAAGCUGCACCAGAGUUUGAUUUCACAUAUUCAUCUUCCCAGUGGCAACAAAGUUAAGUGUCUUAAUAAGCUUUAUCUUGGUCUCAAGAUCAAGUGUCUAGUCAACAUAUUGCACAGCUUGCUGCACCAUUGCUGUUGCAGCCUAUCAUGACAAAGAUGCGACACAUAGGUCACUAUCCAAUCGAGUCAAUGACUUGAUUACGUCUAGAUCACCAUUAAAACUUUGAUUUGAACUAUUUGAUUAACAGCAUGGAAAAUUUGUCACUCUAGAAUGAUAAUAUUGUCAAAAGAGGAACCAAAAGGGACAAUAGCAAGGUACAAUACAAAUAUAGGUAUCUCUAUGAAGAGGAUCCCCGCCACUUGAAAACUUGAAAACAAUAUAAGAUCCCCAUAAAGGAUAUGUCAUUAAAUGUAUCCUGAACUAGACAUGAAAAAGAAGUAAUGCGAUUCAUAAAUGAAUAGGCGAAGAAAAAGUAAAAAUUUGGGGCAAUCAUGGGAGAGAAUCUAGAGACAGAAGGUGAGAAAUCGAAGAGGAUUCUACAAUAUUAGAUUCUAGAGCACAAGCACCAAGCCUAAGAUCUUGCAUCCCAACAGAUUUCCUAGAGCCAAUUACCAUGUCGAUAUGCCAAGCACAUUCCUUUUUUAAAUAGUUCUACAUAGAUGGCAUGUCACAGCUACAUGAAACAACAUUUCAUGAUUGCACACAAAUGGGAGGCAAUCCCUGCAAUAUAAAAUCUAACCCUUAAGCUUAAGGCUGUUAAGAUUGAUCUGAAAAUGAUUGAAAUUGGACUUUGGAUCAAUGAUCAUAAGACUACAGAAAAUUAAGGUCUAAAAGUGAUAGAUUCUUUAUCUUUUCUUCUACACUAACACCUGUAUGUUGUCUUUGAAAAAAGGGAAUGAAGUUGAAAAGUAGAAGAUAAAAGCAAGAGCAUCACCAUAGCAGAAGUAGAUCAAUGAAGAAACUCUCAUGCCUAUUAGAGAAAGUCAACUAGAGAAGCAUCUGGGGCAUGAGUAAAGAAGAGAAAAAAACAAACGCAAAACCAGAUAAUGGCAAUGAAAAGAAGAAGAGAGGAGGAUGAAAAAAAUAGAAAAGGCAAAGAGGUAUUUGCUACUAUGUAAAAAAGAAUUCCGUUCCCAACCAGGAAAGAUGGCUGCAGUACAAAGGUGUUGGUAUUGUGCUACAUUGCUGUCUGUGGACACACAGUAGACCUUUCAUUUACCCCAAUCCAAGUUCUCAUGAAGGUAGAGCCCACUUCCAACUCCACCAAUAAAAGGUUAUUCUUACAUCAGAGAAAAGCUUAUGGAUUCUCCCAAGUCUGUACAGAAAGUAUAUUCAGCCUUGCCACCACCAACAAUUAACCUUCCAUGCAAUCUAAUUCAGAUGAGGGCAACAUCUCAUUCUUAAUUGAUAAUCCCCUUAUAGUUCAAACCCAAAGUUAGCCCUGAUUAGUAGUUUUNNNNNNNNNNNNNNNNNNNNNNNNNNNNNNNNNNNNNNNNNNNNNNNNNNNNNNNNNNNNNNNNNNNNNNNNNNNNNNNNNNNNNNNNNNNNNNNNNNNNNNNNNNNNNNNNNNNNNNNNNNNNNNNNNNNNNNNNNNNNNNNNNNNNNNNNNNNNNNNNNNNNNNNNNNNNNNNNNNNNNNNNNNNNNNNNNNNNNNNNNNNNNNNNNNNNNNNNNNNNNNNNNNNNNNNNNNNNNNNNNNNNNNNNNNNNNNNNNNNNNNNNNNNNNNNNNNNNNNNNNNNNNNNNNNNNNNNNNNNNNNNNNNNNNNNNNNNNNNNNNNNNNNNNNNNNNNNNNNNNNNNNNNNNNNNNNNNNNNNNNNNNNNNNNNNNNNNNNNNNNNNNNAAAGGUAAAUAAUUGGACAUAGGUUAACGUCGACGACCCCAUUCACUCCUAAAAAUGAGUGUAAGAUAUUUCUUUUAGUACAACAAAGUUUGCGAGCAACUAAAUACAAGAAUAACAAUUUAACAUGUAUGAAUGUCCAAGUAUCAGCGUCAUCAAGUACCUGCCAACAUGACACAUGUGUUCAUGCAAGGGAGAAACUCCAGAGCACACCCUAAUUGCAAUGGAGAGGCACAACUCAUAAUCAUAGUUCAUAUUUAAUUGAUUGUAUAAUAGUUUGUCAGAGGGUAGACGAACAUCAAUCCCUGAAUUAGCAUUACCAAUCACUCCCUGGUAGUCAAUCUCAAUUUAUUUUCUCCUUGGUUUCUUUGUUAUUCAAGAAGUAUACUAAGUAAGGCAACGAGGAAAUACCUAUCCAUCUCCAUAAAAGAUAAUGCGAACCCCAAAAGUAAAUCUACUAAGCAAAACAAAAAACAAAGAGGAGCCCCAACUCCUGACUUCACUAAACCCUAAAAUGGCGAUAAAACAAAAUAAAACUACUUGACUAAGACAAAGCGCCUUUUUCUCUUUGUCAUCAUAGACUAAGGAAAUUAUCUAAUUUUUCAACCCUUCACUCCCACACGUUUAACUUCAAUUCCAAACGGAGGGUGGGCCCAUCUUGUAAAAGUACAAGUUAAAAGUAUUUUCCUAGAUAGUACCCCAAACAACAAUGUCCAGCUUAUCCACAGAACUUUGUGCACUACUUUCCUACUCAGCUCAUCCACAUGCCACAGCUACUGACUCCUACCUAUUGAGUUCAGUGUCUCCUCCAAAGCUAAGCGGUCAGGUGCUGAAGACUCACUGAUAUCCUGCCAGAAAGGAUAUCUCCGCAGGCUAAUCUCUUCGCUUUAUUACAUAUCUCUCUGUAUACACAUACAGAGGUGCCACCAUUAAACUUCCACAAGAAUAUCAACCCCAACCUUCCUUCCAUCAUCAUUCAAGAAAAAAGAGAAAGAAGAACUACCCACAUAGGCAAAUCAAGCAUUGAAAUUGGAAGGGCAAGCUCGAGGAAUCGGCACAAAAGUCCGCGAGUGCCAUCGCUUCGAAGCCCCUCUUCUUCUUUCUAUAAUUGGUCCUUUCCAUCAGAUCUAUCGCAGUACACUAGACGAACAGAAACAUCACCAAGAACACCUGAAAAUCGGGGGAAAUAUGUUGGAAAAGCCAUCAAUUCCCUAUGACAAAAGAAAAGCAAUCAAUGUCAUCAUGGCACAAAGUAAAUGCUAAUGAGUCACCACAAAAGAGUAUAUUGUCGUCAUGGUGAUUUCAGCAGCCCCGCUCCCAAGCAACAGUCCCAAGAAGACCUAGAAGGCCACCGCUAGGAAACUGAACACCGCCAUCUGAACUGUUUGCAAUUGCAAAUUUACAACAUGAGAUCAAUCGACUCUAAACUUCAAAUGCGAUCGAUCGAUCAUUUGCAUCACGCCCUACACAUUUACUACUGAGAAAACUAAAAUCUCCAAUCCCAACAAUCGAUGAGCUCGCGCGCUGGAGCGACGUGGUUCUAAAAUGCAUAUGAAGCUGAGAGACCACAGGAAAGACGUGUGCGUGCGUUUACCUGGAGUGGACGGAGAGGGCGUUGCCAGCCGUGGCAUCACCUCGUCGCCGUCACCGUCGUCAUCUCCACCGCGCUGACCGACCUACCCGCCUACCUGCGGUGGAUUGGCUGUGCGAACGGUGGCUUUGAUCUUUGGGCCUGGGAAACCAGCAGAGCGACUGACUAGUAGCGACUUAGAGAGAGAGAGAGAGAGAGAGAGAGAGAGAGAGAGAGAGAGAGAGAGAGAGAUUCCAUGGACAUCGAGCCCUUGUUCUCUUUUGCCCCCCCGUAGCGCUUGACGUUUGCUAACGGCUGAAUAUUAAGGCCCAGGGGUGCAUGAUAAAAAUUAUUUCCGGAACAGAAAUGAUUUUUCUGUUCCAGACCAAUUUCUGGAACAGAAACUUGUUUGAUAACGCUUAUCAAAUUUUCUAUUUCUGGAAUAGAUUUCUAUUCCAUAAAUAGAAAUUCUGAUUUCUCCUCACCUAAUUUCACUCUUCUCCCUCGUACACCUCUUCUCUGCCUCCUCCUCUGCCUCUUCUCUACCUCCUCCUCCUCCUCCGCCUCUCCGCCUCUCCUCCGCCUCUGCACUGACGCCCUCCGCCUCUCCUCCGCCUCUGCACCGACGCCCUCCGCCUCUUCUCUGCACCCCUGCCACUCGUUCCCCUGCGAAGCCAGAAGCCCUCAACAGAUCCGAGCACCGACGCCCUCCGCCUCUUCUCUGCACCCCCGCCGCUCGUUCCCCUGAGGCCAGAAGCCCUCAACAGAUCCGAGCACCGACGCCCUCCGCCUCUUCUCUGCACCCCCGCCGCUCGUUCCCCUGCGAAGCCGAAGCCCUCUGCAACAGAUCCGAGCACCGACGCCCUCCGCCUCUUCUCUGCACCCCCGCCGCUCGUUCCCCUGCGAAGCUAGAAGCCCUCAACAGAUCCGAGCACCGACGCCCUCCGCCUCUUCUCUGCACCCCCGCCGCUCGUUCCCCUGCGAAGCCGAAGNNNNNNNNNNNNNNNNNNNNNNNNNNNNNNNNNNNNNNNNNNNNNNNNNNNNNNNNNNNNNNNNNNNNNNNNNNNNNNNNNNNNNNNNNNNNNNNNNNNNNNNNNNNNNNNNNNNNNNNNNNNNNNNNNNNNNNNNNNNNNNNNNNNNNNNNNNNNNNNNNNNNNNNNNNNNNNNNNNNNNNNNNNNNNNNNNNNNNNNNNNNNNNNNNNNNNNNNNNNNNNNNNNNNNNNNNNNNNNNNNNNNNNNNNNNNNNNNNNNNNNNNNNNNNNNNNNNNNNNNNNNNNNNNNNNNNNNNNNNNNNNNNNNNNNNNNNNNNNNNNNNNNNNNNNNNNNNNNNNNNNNNNNNNNNNNNNNNNNNNNNNNNNNNNNNNNNNNNNNNNNNNNNNNNNNNNNNNNNNNNNNNCCAAGCCAAGUUCUCUCAUGCUGUGUACACAUAAACUUAGACAUGUCGAGUCGAUCAUUCCAGAGAUCCGCAAAAUCUAAUAUAGAAAGAUCGCAAGUGUCUCAACUCUGACAAGUUCGUCAAGGACUUUCAAUUUUCCACAAGAACUAAUAUGAAGCGUUGAUAGUCCAAUGGGAAGCUCUGGGACACAUUCAAGCUGAUGGCAACAGUGAAGAUAGAGUUUCUUGAGACGGGUUAGUUGGGAGAGAUGGGGCAAAGAUUGCCUCUCACUGGUGAUCCCUAGUUCCCUUAAGCCAGAGGGCAAUUCUAGUAAUUCUUGAAGAUUUACACAUUCACUAAAGUGGAGCACCUCUAGCGAAACAUAUUUGCAUAUAUUACUAGGUAGUCGCUCCAGAUAUUCACAACCUUAAGCUUCCAACUUUUGUAGUUUUGCCAACAUCCCAAUGUCAUCAGACAAUUCUGUUAUGCUAGUUCCAAUAAUAUGUAAGACCUUCAAAUUUUGCAAAUUUCCAAUACUUUUAGGCAAUUUCGUGAUCGAUGUCCAUGUUAAGUUAAGCUUGAUCAAUGAUGCCAAAUUUGUAAUAGAAGGAUGAAGCUCUUUUAGAUUCUCACAAUAUUUAAGACUCAAAAUCUCCAAACUUUUGAAAGUGGACAAGUCAGGAGUUCUUUUCAAAAAUCGACACCACUUGAGAUUGAGAACUUUGAGCUCGGUCGCCAUCUAGAAGAAAGAAAGGAUACGUCAGUGUAAUUGGACUGUCACAACCCGUGAUUUUUUGCUACUCCUUAUGUUUUUGACCUUUUAGAAUUCCUCAAAAAUUACCCGUGUUCCUCUACUCCUUCACAAUUGUCCUAUUUAAUUUUAAAUGUCUCCUUUAGUAGUGUUUGGUCACGACAAUAGAUAAAUGUCUUUUAAACAUAUUGAUUGCAAAAGAAUGUUAGGGUGUACAAGUGCUAACUGCAUUUAUUUCCGAAUAACAUUUUAAAGGAGAUAUUUGCUUAUUAGACGUUAGCAACUUAUAUCAUAAAAAAAGAAUAUGAAAAAUCCAAAUGAAAGAGAGAUGCAAUCAUUGGGCACCGAGUUUUCCUUUAAUACUAUGAAAUUAAAUAGAAAUGGCUAGUUCAAUUAUGAAAAUCAAUUUUCAAAUGUUAUAUGUACAAGGAAAAAAAUGUUAAGUUAAAAAAAAAAAAAAUCCUUCGAUGCCUUUUUUAUAUAUUACCUUGAGUGGAACCCAUCCUCCCCAGUCCUCUGAAAUUGCACUGUUUGACAAAUCGAGUACAACUAAUUUUUUUGGACGAAAGUUGGCCGCUAUGAAAUCAGAGGGACAGCCCUCCCACUGAAGCCACCUUAAUUCAGGAAGUAAGCUUUGGAAAUCUCCGAUGAAAUUAGCACCAUCCACUUGAAGAAACCUCAAGUUGGUCAUUUUUUUAAACUUUUUGGCUGUGUAUCUCCUUCCCUUACCACAUUUGCCAAGAGAAAGGGCCUCAAUCUUUCUGGUGCCCUGCAACUUGGAAACAUUAUGGACCAUAAGUUUUGAAUGAUGAGAUGAGACCAAUUGAUGUAAAAUAAAAUGCACCGAUUUCGAUUUUUGUCAUACUACUAUGACGUAGGCUUCUCCCUUUCAUUUUUGUGAAAUGAAAGGUUGUAAUUGCAUAUUAUUUAUCUAAUCUAUGUAAAGAUGAGAAGCUCAAGUGGUUGCUUCCAAACUUUUUCCUCAUCCAACUAUACCCUUUCAUAAAUUUCACCUUCUGAAUUUCCAAAAUUUGGGUCCAUUUGCAACUACAAUGGAAGGCCUCUCUUCAUGCAUAUACUAAAAUAUAUUUGUCAAAAUUCACGCUCUUUAUAUGUGAAAUAACACUUCCUUAACUCCUAUCAUGUAUAUGCGAACCAAUACAACUCUAACCAUCCAAAUGCAUCUAUCAAACUUGCCAUCAAUAUAAGUAUCAAGAUUAAAGAAUCCUGAUUGUAGAAUUUCCUCACUUUUUUGGCUUACUUUGUUUGCAAUUGUCAAUAUCAAAAUGAAAACAAGAAUGUCAUUGCAAAAAAUAUGUGUGUGAUUUACAUUCCUUUCUUAUCACGUGGUCCUUCAAUGAGGGUUUUUCAUUGUAUGUGGAAGGAAAAUUGAUAACAUCAUAUAUUCUAUACAAUGAUCCUUACUUUUCUUUUUUAUCACUACAGAUGUUUGAUGCUAUCUUUUCGUCGUAAAUAUCUAAAUUUUGAUCCAUUUUCCCAUGGAUUAAUGAGAUCUUCUGUCUGAAUAGAUUGGGCAUGAAAAUUGAUCAAAUUUGUAUUCUUAAGGAACUACGAGUCUUCUGCAUAUUUCUUUUAUUGUAACCUAAUAUUUUACAAACUCAAAUCCGUUUCUAGUUUUAGGUGACGAAUUGCACAUUGGUGGUUUCAGCUUUUCCUUCAAAAAUUUUAUUCUUUCAUAUGAAUCCCUACUCGUUUUUACAUUAAAAGUUAACUGUGUAUUUAUUGUAUUUUUGUCAACAACUUCAUAGAUACCAUUUUUUUAAAAACUUCUAAGAAAUGUUCUAUUUAGUUAAUUAUGUUUUUCUUCGUGCGAAAAUAUGCACGCUGAAAAGUAGUGGUAGCAUUUUUUUCAAUAGUUUUGGCAUAUCAUAUGUUUUGCAUCCCAUGUUUAUGUUUAUUUUUUGUUAAUUAAUGGUUUUCGUAACAUUUGCACAUGCUUGUUUGAUGCUUGUACAAAUUUUCCAUAUGUUAUAAUUGCUUUUAGUGGAUUCCUUUUUAACUUUCANNNNNNNNNNNNNNNNNNNNNNNNNNNNNNNNNNNNNNNNNNNNNNNNNNNNNNNNNNNNNNNNNNNNNNNNNNNNNNNNNNNNNNNNNNNNNNNNNNNNAUCAUUACACAAAAUUCAAACCAUAUAUACUUCGGUUAAUAAUAGCAAAAGUCCCAAACCGAUAGACUUGUUCGGCAUUUACCCCACACUAAUUUUAAUGUCAUAAAAAAGUUCCAAACUGAUAGACCCGUGUCACAUUUACCUCAAAUUAGUUUUCAUUUCACAAAAAUAAGAUAAUGUUUCUAAUGUUAACUAAAUCUUUGCUAAAUAAGAUGCUCACCAGGAAUCGAACAAUAAACAAAUUAUUAUUAUAACAUGAUAGCCUACAUUUAGCAAAUAAAUAAUAUUGGGAGAUUAAUCAAAAAAUCAUCAAUCAUCACGAAAAGAAAAGGUAUUACUAGAUUCAUAGAAAGAAACUAUCCACUAUCAUGAAAAGUAUAUACAAUGAAAAUAAUAUAUGUUUAAAGGGUUAAAUUACGAAGUUAAUCAUCCUACAUCAGCAAAUUGACGGUGCCAACUGACGAUUGACCACAAAUGACUCAAUUGCACGAAAAAGUGAAAGUUAGAAGACUAUACUGAGCAAAAGCAAAAAUAAAUGAGGGACUAAAUUGCACAACCAAUAAUAUUUAGGGGUUAAACUUACCCCAACUUAAAUAAUACACGAAACAAGAUAGCUAAAUCGUCAUAGAUGAUUGGAGGUAUCAUUUAUCAUACCAAACAAUUCAUAAGAAGCCAAAUCUAAGUGAAAGAAAAAAAUAAUUAAAAAUAGGCCUCGCAGGAAACCAAAUGACGGAUCCAAACAUCAAAAUGUGCAUCAAACAAAUAUGUGGGGAGAGUAUGGCUGCAACAAUUUAUAAAUGUCAGGUUUCUCGAAAGUAUUUGUCAAACAUUCUGCUUUUGUAGUUUUGCNNNNNNNNNNNNNNNNNNNNNNNNNNNNNNNNNNNNNNNNNNNNNNNNNNNNNNNNNNNNNNNNNNNNNNNNNNNNNNNNNNNNNNNNNNNNNNNNNNNNNNNNNNNNNNNNNNNNNNNNNNNNNNNNNNNNNNNNNNNNNNNNNNNNNNNNNNNNNNNNNNNNNNNNNNNNNNNNNNNNNNNNNNNNNNNNNNNNNNNNNNNNNNNNNNNNNNNNNNNNNNNNNNNNNNNNNNNNNNNNNNNNNNNNNNNNNNNNNNNNNNNNNNNNNNNNNNNNNNNNNNNNNNNNNNNNNNNNNNNNNNNNNNNNNNNNNNNNNNNNNNNNNNNNNNNNNNNNNNNNNNNNNNNNNNNNNNNNNNNNNNNNNNNNNNNNNNNNNNNNNNNNNNNNNNNNNNNNNNNNNNNNNNNNNNNNNNNNNNNNNNNNNNNNNNNNNNNNNNNNNNNNNNNNNNNNNNNNNNNNNNNNNNNNNNNNNNNNNNNNNNNNNNNNNNNNNNNNNNNNNNNNNNNNNNNNNNNNNNNNNNNNNNNNNNNNNNNNNNNNNNNNNNNNNNNNNNNAUGCUUCGUACUUAUUUUCACUUCUCUUGCACUUUCUUAUCAGGCACUUUCUUUAAUUUCUUUAAUGUAUCUUUCCAUACUUCUUCUCUCUUUCCAUAUAAGAAUGAACCAAUAACUUCAAGAGCUAAUGGAAGCCCUCCAGUAGUAGAUACAAUAUGAUGAGAGAUAAUCUCACAAUCACUUGAAGGAGAAUCCUUUCGAAAUGCAUGUCUACUAAAUAAAAUCAGUGAUUGAUCAAAAGACAACUCUUUGAGUUGGUACAUAUAGCCCGCCCUACCUUCAUCAAGAAUGCUUUUGUUUCUAGUUGUGAUGAUGACUAUACUUCCCGCUUCAAACCAACUACCAUCCCCGACCAAAGCACUCAAGUGCGUACAAUCAUCCAUAUCAUCUAAAAGAACAAGAACUUUCUUACUUGUAAAUCGAUAUUUUAUGACAUUGAUUCCUUCAUCGACAUUAGACACCUCACAUAAACUUCCUAUUAUGGCAGAAAUGAGUUGCUUUUGUACACACUCAAUACCCUUACGUUGAUAUGUUUCUCGGAUAUUUGCCACGAAGCUACGAUAGUCAAAUUGGCUAGAAAGUUUGUUGUAUAACACCUUUGCAAGAGUUGUCUUACCGAUGCCGCCCAUUCCAUAAAUUCCAAUAAUCCUUGUACCAUUGGAUUUGGCAUCUAUCUUGCUCAUAAUCUGUUGCACAUGAUCAUUGAUUCCCGCCAAUUGUUCGGGAACAUUUAGCUGAAAAAAUCUUUUUAACUUGCCCAUAACUUUUUUGACAACAAUAUCCACCAAUGUUCCUUCGUGCCUAUCAAGUAACAAUGAAUAUCAAUAUAGGAUAGCAAUAUGUAUAUUCUUUUUCAAGAAAUAUCUAUUUAUGAAAGAUUAAACAAUGUUUUGUUGGAGAAUAAGGUACCCGUUAUCAAUUUUCUCCGAUUCCCAUCCUUUCAAGAAGCUGACUUCUUUAAGUGCUUCUUCCCAUUCUUUCAUAACCAUUUCAUCCAUAAUCUUUUUAUGUGCAUUGAUAGCAUCUCUCAAUCUCCCUAUAGAAUGUUGCACUUGCGAGGGUUCCACUUUGUAAAAUAUGGGCAACACUAUCUGCCCUUUACUUCUCUUGCACUUCAACAUCUCAACUAGCUCGCGGAGGCACCAUUUACUUGAGGCGUAGUUCUCCGAAAUAAUUGGGAUCGAGAUCUUAGAGUUUGUAAUACUGCAGAGAAGCUCCAAACCAAUCUCCUCACCAACACGAAGCUCAUUAUCGUCUCUAAACACACAAAUUCCUGCAUGGUUAAGGUUAUGAUAGAGAUGAUCGGUGAAGCCUUUGCGAGUGUCUUCCCCUCUAAAACUCAAAAACACUUCAUAAUAAUUUCCCCUCGGAUCAGCACUGAGUAGAGAGGUGCAAAAGGACCACGGAGAGGUUGAUGAGGAAGACGCCUCAUAGAUCAGAUCUUUUGAAUUAAAGGGUUCUUUUCCUUUCAUCUCGAGAGGAUUGUAGAAGAGAUUGAUGGAGAAGGAAACAGAGAGAAAUAUGAAAUCCCAAAUUUGAGAGUAGCAACCGACCAAAAAAAAAAUCUGAGAAUAGCAAAAAUGUCUCCCAAGACUCAAACUCGGAGCUACAUUCAAACAAAAAUAGAAACUCUCAGACGACUCAUCAGAAGAAAAUAGAGCAAUCAAAGCAGGAAAUAGAGAAGUACAUGGAGCCAUCGAUUACCUUAGGAGUGGUCGAACGACAUGACCCACCCACUGUCGGGAUCUACACCGAUCGUCAGCCUUCGACGUUGGAUUACAAACACACAAACUAUCUACUGCGCGUUCUUGAACAAUGCUGAUUCUUGACUGCUAGGUGCUUAAAGAAUGAUGGUCAUUGCACUCGUAAUAUUUGCAGGAUUAUGCAGAAGUUGCGGGGAACCUUUCCAAUGGCUUCUUGACUUUUUUUUUUUUUUUGGAGCAAAUGGCUUCUUGACUUGACUUGCUUUUUUCUUUUCCUUUGGGCAAAAAAGUAAAAAAGAAAACCAACUUGCAAUAAAGAUGCUUCUAGUCCUUGCUUUUUCUUUUGUACAUGCUCGAACAAUGCUGACCACUUGACGAAUGCCGGGUUAUUGCACGCGUAAUUUCGUCGGCAUUAUGUGGAAAGUGUGUGCAACCUACGCAGGUGCUUUGAUUGAAAUUUGAGAUCCAACAUGACUUGACUUGACUUGCUUUCCAUUAAUAAAUGGAAUCGUCGGGGAAAUGUAACGCGAAGGUGAAGCGAGCAAGACACCGGAAUAACGUUGCUUCAUACUAAAACGGAAGGGUAAAGUAGUGUGAAGCACAAGCUACAUGAGGAGUUUAGGAAAUUGGUGCGACUGAGCAGAGAAUCUCUGGAAUUGAGUAGUGAAUUUUGGUAGAGGUUGUGGAGGAUUGACAAGAAUAGUUCCAAAGCUAACUUAAAGACUUGGACAAAUGCAUUUUCAGCAUCGAAUAUGGGUCAUUGCCUAAACAUUGACUGUUAAAUUAAAUGUAUAUUAUUGCGUAAAUCCCGCUAAUGAAAUUAUUAUAUCACACUGCCUAUUUAAAUGAUGAAAUGAAUGUUGGGUUUUUUUUUUUUUUUGGGAUGAUAAUAGAUCAAUUCAAGUGCUACGUUUUUUUCAAAUGUUAGACAUUCAGCUGAUUUCAGCUUCAAUUUCAUGACCUUUUCCACGAAAAUCACUUGGCAAACCGCACCAGAAAGGGUCAUGAAGUGACCAUGAAUUUGCUUCCAUAAGAUGCAAGAAACUUCUGGCAGGUUUUCGAGUGAGCUUUCUUGAAACCCUCAUCACCUCCAUGCUGUGCUCACAUUAUUCCGUUUUAUGGAUGUGGGGACCCGAAUGUUAUUAUGAUUCUCCGACAUUCAAGAAACCGCAAAAGCUGUGGGAUCAGACCUGCAAAAGAGAAUCCAUGACCAAGGCCCAAUGGCCACCGGUACCCCUCCCCCUUAUUAUUCAUUUCGGUCUCGAAGCAAGCUGUGUUUGUGUGGUAGAAUCCCUUUCUUUCUUAAACUAGUCCAUUAGUUGUUCUAUAAUCUCUUUUGUGCGGUCAAAUCUUCAUCCUCUUAAAAACAAAUAGACAGCACAAGCCGGAGGAGGAGGAAGCAGAUGGUAUCAGGAUGACUGAGUUGCUAGGUUGCGCAAUACCUCGGCCUUCCAAGGGACAACGUCACAUGUUUGUCUCCAUGGCAUGUUUUGUUACACAAACAGACACAUCGAUUGUUCACCGGAGCAUGUUGUGGACAAUGGCCGAUGCGCUUCAAUUGGAAGUCAAGUGUAGUUCCAUGCAUUUGAUGAAUGAAAUUAAAGUUUAGUUGAUUCCAAUUGAUGAUGACCCCUAUGCUAGCAACGAUGCAUAAAUUGCCCUAUGCUUGUGGUCUAUUUAGCAAGCAUGCACCGUUGUGAUAAAAGGAAAAGCUGCUUUGCUUGGAUACAUGGAGGAAAGGAAGAUAGAAUUUUUUUGAAUUUUCCUGCCACUUCUUCUCAGGAAAGUUGCAAGAAUUUACUUCAUUUUCCUCCUUUUCCCCUACUUCCCAAGUAAAGCAUUAAGGCAGUACCUCGGAAAAUCAAAGCAUAUAUAUAUGGAAGGAUGAAAUAUAGGGCGGUCUUGCUUUCUUCACAUAAGACUGUUUACCCAAAUAAGGAUUAAAUUCUUAAUAUAUGCUGACUAACUCAGAUUAUAAUAGAACAUUCCUCUAACUGCAGGAAUAUUGUAUACAUGUAGAUCGGCAAUAUGAACGGGGAAAUUGCCUUUUUUGAAUAUUAAGUCGGGUUGGUUUGUGCAAAUGGCAAAACUCAAAAGUGUUGCAUUUGAGUCCUUCAAGAAGGGGCAAAUUCAAAUAGGAGUAAGCAGACAGCAGCAAAUUAUUAAAAUCUGGCUUUAUGUGAUUUGACCAAGAUGAGAAAUUACAACAGCCUUUAUUCAUUAAAAAAACACAAGUUUUUGUCAUGGACUUAUGACACACUACGUACUUGAAACCAAACUUGGCUAAAUUCUUGAAAUCUUCAUGUCAUGCUCUAAGAAUUAGGGACUACCAAAAUUAUUUUUUUCAUGACAUAAUANNNNNNNNNNNNNNNNNNNNNNNNNNNNNNNNNNNNNNNNNNNNNNNNNNNNNNNNNNNNNNNNNNNNNNNNNNNNNNNNNNNNNNNNNNNNNNNNNNNNNNNNNNNNNNNNNNNNNNNNNNNNNNNNNNNNNNNNNNNNNNNNNNNNNNNNNNNNNNNNNNNNNNNNNNNNNNNNNNNNNNNNNNNNNNNNNNNNNNNNNNNNNNNNNNNNNNNNNNNNNNNNNNNNNNNNNNNNNNNNNNNNNNNNNNNNNNNNNNNNNNNNNNNNNNNNNNNNNNNNNNNNNNNNNNNNNNNNNNNNNNNNNNNNNNNNNNNNNNNNNNNNNNNNNNNNNNNNNNNNNNNNNNNNNNNNNNNNNNNNNNNNNNNNNNNNNNNNNNNNNNNNNNNNNNNNNNNNNNNNNNNNNNNNNNNNNNNNNNNNNNNNNNNNNNNNNNNNNNNNNNNNNNNNNNNNNNNNNNNNNNNNNNNNNNNNNNNNNNNNNNNNNNNNNNNNNNNNNNNNNNNNNNNNNNNNNNNNNNNNNNNNNNNNNNNNNNNNNNNNNNNNNNNNNNNNNNNNNNNNNNNNNNNNNNNNNNNNNNNNNNNNNNNNNNNNNNNNNNNNNNNNNNNNNNNNNNNNNNNNNNNNNNNNNNNNNNNNNNNNNNNNNNNNNNNNNNNNNNNNNNNNNNNNNNNNNNNNNNNNNNNNNNNNNNNNNNNNNNNNNNNNNNNNNNNNNNNNNNNNCCAUGUUAGAAAUGGAGCUUUUCCUUACUUUGGAUUGGGAUUUUGUUGACACGGCCUUUGACAGCAUUAACACCUCUCUAUCAGCGGGCUAAUUCCAUAAAAAAAGCAUCAACUUUAGGUUGAUGGACAAAUCUGACCAAAACUUUUUUUUUUGUCUCACGAAAAAGCACAAACUUUAGGUUAAGGGACAAAUCUGACCCAAACUUUUUUUUGUCUUGUAAAAAAGCAUUAACUUUUGGUUAAGUGACAAUUCUGACCCCAAUAUUUUUUUGUCUAGUAAAAAAUCAUAAACUUUCACUCCUAUCCAAAAUCAAACCCCUACCAUUAACUUUCUAUUUGAAGUUAACCUUAUUUUAGGAGAAAAUAUUCUAGCCGUGAGGUUAGUGGAUCUCAUCUAUGGUUUCUCUUGACGGGCGGUGAUCUAUAAUUUCAUAUUACGACAAAACGAUAAAGUCUAGCAAGAGAAAUUCAAUUUGGAGGUUUUUUUACUUGCUAGUGAAGUAUAGGAGACGGCAUAAUUUCACCAUUAUUUUUCAAGCUGUGGCUCACACAAGAAGACAAAUAGUGUUAGCCAGCAAGUGCACAUGGAUUUAUUGGUAAGGACAAUCAAUGAAUCUAAGUUAAAAUGGGCUAGAUUUAGGAUUUAAGUGAAAGUUAAUUAUUUUUUUUCGAAAUAAAAAAAUAUUUUGGCCAUAAUUGUCACUCAACCUGAAGUUGGUGUUUUUUUUAUGUGAUAGAAAAAUGUUUGGGUUAGAUUUGUCACUCAACCUAAAGUUGGUGUUUUUUUACGAGAUAAAAAAAAGUUCAGGUCAGAUUUGUCCAUCGAUCUAAAGUUAGUGCUGUUUUUUGAAAUUAACCCCUAUGUUAGCUGGCUAGCUAGUAGCCUUGCUUCGCUUCCCGUCGGUGAAUGAUGAUCAUUGUCUUUGAUGGAGCGAUUGAUUGAUCGAGAUGCAAAGCUCAUUGAUCAACCGUGCAAAGAUCUCCGAGCCAUUUGUUCCCGAACCCAAUACCAGACAAAGGGAGACGUUCCUGAAUUCAGACCGUACUCUUCUUUUUUGUUUGAGCUGCUCCAUUACGCGCGAUAUACAUAAACCUUUCAAACAAGAGAUCCUGGACACUCCGAUUAGUAUGAAAUUGGGGUUUUUGACGGUGUUGGGUUGAGAUAUUUUCUCUUUAUUUUCAUCGCAUGCAUUCACUUGAAUCCAACAUACUUGUUUCUACACCCGGAAAGAAAAAAAAAAAAAGUCGAUUCUACUUUUGUGAAAAUAAAUCCAAGGGUCAGUGUAAAUCAUAUAUUUAUAUAUAUCAUAGGUCUUUAUAAAAAUUCAUGACAGGCCCCUAUCCAUCAUCCAGUUUUCUUACCCAUCAUCCAGUUUUCUUACCAAAGACAAAAUUGUACUUCAAAAGUAAAUGGAAUAUUUUACUCGUUAAAUCACAAUUAUUUUUUAAUCUUUGAACACUUGCUUUAUUUUUUUGCCAAAUAUUAAGCUCAUUUUCCUAAAUAGACCAAACACUCAAAAACUUAUAGUGCGUUUCGUUUGACUUUACAAAUGAGCUUUAAAUGUAAUGCACAUGUUAAAAACUGAAAUCCUUUAGAGAAAUACAAAUUGCGUUUGGUAAAGCCCCUUGUAAAGCAACUUUGAGUGUAAUAAUGUUUGGUAAUUUUUUUUGUAAAGGGCUUGAUUGUAAUUUUCUUUUUUUUUAUUGUUAAAAAGAAAUCAAACCCUUCAUUGGCAAAGAGUUUGGGCUCCCAUCGAGCCAAAUCUAGCAUUGGUGGUCAACAACUGAGGUUGCAUGACCUCAGGCAACUCUUAGCAAAUGUCACAAGACCUUAGGCGGCCAUUGCUUGGGUUGUGAGACCCUAUGUGACGGUCGCUUGGGUUGCGUGACUUGGACAUCCCUCACUAGGGUCUCGCAAUAUUGCCGGCCCUUUGUUUGUUAGAUCUGACCUCAUAAGCCCUUGCUAGUUGCCAUCACAAAGGCAAUGAACUAUGAGGGGCAGAAUCGAAAAACUGAAGAAUUGAUGAUGGUAAUUUUGAAAAAAAAAAAUUAUUCAACCAUAGUUUUGGUAUUCUGCAAAUACUACUUCAAAAGGCUAGUCUAUGCUUGCCUUGGGCUUUUAGCAUCCCCAAGCCCAACAUUUGACCAAAAAUUGCUUGGAAAGGCUUGUCAAACAACCUAAUAUCUCUUAAAGGGGUUUUGAAGGCCGAAAGCACAUUGAAAAAGUUGAAUCAAACGGACCAUUAGUGUUUUCCAAAGUUAAUGAAUUAUUAUCUCUUAAAAGCAUGUCCACUUUUAAUCGUGCACAAUAUAUGGUGACCAUUUUGAUCACAUUUACUGAUAAUGAAAAAGAAUUCAUAAUACUACUGGUGAUAUAUCCACACUCAAUUUGUAUUUAGAUAGAUAAAAUAUAAGAUAUUUGCAAAUCAGAUAGGCAUUCGUGGGACGCAGUCGUAGGUUCAUCUCCAAGACGACACAUGUCAAAGAACAAAAUGAAUCGAAAACAAUAAUACCCCAUAAUUUAGUUUGACCUCCCCAUUCAUGUUGUGAGGAUUCAACAAAAGGAAUCACGUCAAUUUCACGCACAAACACACGCAUAUAUACAUAUAUUCCAACCUAAAAAGGGAAAAAAGAGCAAAAAGACAUGCAAAUCAUUACCUUUUCCCAAAUUAUCAGAGACGAGUUGGAAGGAAAUUAAAGUACUACCGACAACGUGGCUAAUAGAAAAAAUAGAAAAGAAAGAUCGACCACAUAUUUUUCUUCUUGAUUUGUAUUUGUCUCCGUACACAUCUAAAUUUUCUCAAAGUGACCCCUAUGGGACCCUCGAGCCCAUUCCAUGAAUAUACUCAAAACAUUUUGUAAUGAUGUUUUUGUGGGGGUGUGAAAGUCAUAUUCUAUUUUUCUUCAGACAGCAACUAAACACACCACAACAACAAGAGCGGGACAAUCUUUUGCAGUUCAACUACUCAACUUGCUCCGAUUCUCCUACAAAAGGGGCGUUUGGUUUGGCACCGGGAGAGCGUCUCUAGAAAAAUGCAAAGGCUUUAAGGAAUUUUUCAAAAUAUAAAUAAUGUUUAGUAAAAGGUAUUUUAAAAAUAAAUUAGGAGGCAACUUUGACCUAAAAACCAUAUGGUGAAAACUAUAUUUUGUCAAGUAGCUAAUCUCAAAAGAAAUAAUUUAAGAAUUUUGCCUCGAAUUAUUGACAUCGUGUUGCCCAAGCAGCACGAUGGAAGAUGGGAUCCACAUCGAGAUAAAUUUGUUGAACCAAGAUGCCAAGAUUUUUCCAAUGCCUUGAUCUUAAGAAGUCAAUUAACCUUUAACACAUCGUGGUGCAUUCACGAGUCUUUAAAUGUCAAAGAUGGAGGGUCAAAAGAGCCAAUAUCAUAGGGGGAAAGAGAAAGGUUAUGAAUUGAAGUUCAUGCAUUUGCAAUUCUUGAUACGUCACGAAAGAAACAUGUAUGAUUAUGCGUCAUGACAUGUUGAUGAUCUUUUACAUCAUCACUAUGUCCAAUUAAAUUGUAGCCCUUCAUAUAAAUUUUUGCUUGCCAACUUGGGACUGUGAGUGCAUGUGCACCGCCUGGUCUAAAAGCUUGUGAUCGGUGGUCAAUCUCAAUCAAAGUGGCUAAGUUUUUCCAAUCCCCUAAAAAAUCAAAUGCGUCAGCAUCAUGAUGAUCAACUCGGCACCUCAAAUCACGGGUUACAUUCAGUCCCCCCUAAUCCUCAUACAACAAAGGAAAAAGCUGUCCAUCUAUUUCAAAAGUAAAACCAGUCCACUUAACUUUGUCCUUAGAGCACGCAAUUCUAGAUGUUCUAAAGCCUCAACAUGGAAACUAUGGGAUAAUGAUAUAGGACCNNNNNNNNNNNNNNNNNNNNNNNNNNNNNNNNNNNNNNNNNNNNNNNNNNNNNNNNNNNNNNNNNNNNNNNNNNNNNNNNNNNNNNNNNNNNNNNNNNNNNNNNNNNNNNNNNNNNNNNNNNNNNNNNNNNNNNNNNNNNNNNNNNNNNNNNNNNNNNNNNNNNNNNNNNNNNNNNNNNNNNNNNNNNNNNNNNNNNNNNNNNNNNNNNNNNNNNNNNNNNNNNNNNNNNNNNNNNNNNNNNNNNNNNNNNNNNNNNNNNNNNNNNNNNNNNNNNNNNNNNNNNNNNNNNNNNNNNNNNNNNNNCCAUCGUCUCAAUGUAAUCUUGGCAAGAGGUGUAUCCAAGUGCUUUCUCUUCGAAAUGGGGAAGAGCAAAGGAUUUGAAUGUGGAUUUAAGAUGAAACGUGAGAAGGAAAUUCUUUUAGGAGCUAUUAGGUCAUCGUUAUACGUGACCAAACUUUUCGCAUGCAAUUCUCAUCCUUAGUCUAAGGCCUUCCUUGUCUCUAGAUAUUGUUCCGGAUUCAGUGCUCUUUUAGUAUAGGCAAGACCGUACGUAACUGUAUCAUGAAGCGUAAUGAUUUGCAUAUUUGAUAAUACACGUUUUAAACCUACUAUAUUUAAAAGCACAAUCAGAUAACUUUUCCUCUUGCAACUAUGAGAGGUUGUCAAAACCUUUUAGAAUUGUAAUGUCCUAUUUUUUCAGAGCUAUAAUUAUUGCUAAAAUGUUUUGACAAACAAGCUCUUGGUCUGCAUUAUUGAGUGUCUUCACUUGUGAUCGAGGACCACAUAAUUUGCCAAAACUUUUCGGUUUCAUGUCAAAAUUAAGGUAUGACAAAAUGAAAAUUGUCCAAAAAGUCUUAAAUCUAUUAUAUGGUCACUAAUUCAAUUUUAAACUCUCCAAUUUGGUUGAUGUAGUCCUAAUUUUUUUUUUCAAUGUAGUCCAUUAGACUAAUUUUGAUUGGAAAUCGUUAAAAUGGCGUCUAGUCAAUGCUGAUCAUCCUCGUGGCACAACCGGUGAUCUGACGAGUAUAAAUUCAUUACAAAACAUCUUCAUUUUGAGAAUUUUUAUAACUUUUCUUAUUUCCUCAUUAUCAUCUUCGUAGAGUGUCGGUGAGGUCAUUUGGGCUUUGCAAUGGCCAACGACAGGUGAGGACCUUUAAGCCCUUGUUGUCAAAGAGCAAGGGCUUUCAAAUCCUUGCCUAGAUGGCGAGGUCCAAGUUGUGAUAGGUGAAGGUGCUGAGGUGGUCGAAGGAGAGCCAGUCACACUUUGGCAACCUCUUCGGCAGCAACUGCUUGUUCCUUUGGGUGAAUCCACCGCCGGUGGAGAACUUGAUUUAGAAAGAUGCAAAACUAAGAGUAUUAAUUUGAAUUUUACCAGAAAUAAGACUUGUGAUUGAAUCUCUAGCUCUUUGUAUCUAAAGUGAUCCAUAAUCAAAUUUGUAAGGGUAACCUAAAGGCACUAGUCAUGCUGAUAAAUGAGUUGACUUUCAUGUCUCUUGAAACACGAUGAUUCAAGUUAUUGAUGAGUUUUUUUGAACGUUUACAAAAAUAAAUGUUCAAGUGUCUAGUUGGAGAAUAGGAUUUGUACACUGUUCGACCAAUCAAUUAUAACUUUCAAAUCAAAGAAAAGUCAUGAGAUCCAUAAUAUCAAAUCGGAAAGGCUUUUCAAAAUUCCAUACUAUAUCUUCCGAGGACCCUCCUGGUUGUUUUUGGCCUCGAAAUUAAUCAAUUUCAUGCAUUAGGACCAUUUUCUAUGUUCGUGCUAUUCUAGGAAAAUGCUUUUGGCGCAUUCGCUAUUUAUUGAGUUAACUUUGAACUUUAGUUUCUAAUUCGGGUUGAUUAGGAGCAUUUCUAUGAAAGGAAGCAAUCCAUCCUUGCACCCAUUAUCUAUAUUAUAUGGAUCCACUAUGAGGCAACUAACCCCUGAAAGAAAUUCCAACUUAGAAUAUUUUAUAGACCAAAGUCAUCAAAGUCUAGAUUUUGAAAUUCCAACCCCUGAUUUACGUGUUAAUCCAUCCGAGAACACGUUAAUCAGAAGUUUAUCACCACUAAAUUGCAUGAGAUUUUGACUGACGGCUCGUCAAUGACCACUUAAAACAGCUCUGAAAUUUCCACACCCGCUUUUUGCCUUGCCGGCUCAAAAGGAACCCGUCUCUGGACAAAUGCAUAACGCGCGGUUCAAUGCAUAAUCCUCGAUUGACAGUAUGGUCUGUCACCAUCACCAUUUUGAAGAAUAUAAUAAGAUGUUGUAACGAAAUUGGUACACGAUCGUUUCAGCCCACUAAAAAGAAUUAUUUAAAAAAAUAAUGGGAUGGUAGGUUGGUCAAAGGGGUUUGUAAAACGUGGUACUUUGCGAUCCAGGUUCAAUGUUGCUCCUUUUAUUAAUUUUAUUAUUAUUUGGAUGAAUCUUUAUUAAAUCAAAUUUGGACAAUGAGAUAAUAUAUAGGUUCGGUCCUUGAAUUUAGGUGGUUAGCCUGCAAUACAAAUGUUUAGUGAAGCAAAUUUGUUAGAGGAAAAUUAUCAAGCAAACUAUAACUUCUAAGAUCUAAAUGUUUGGGAGGAAACUCAACAAAAUUAGACAAAAGUACUUUUCGACAAAUAACUACCCAUUUAAUUUAACAAAGAUCUUCUUGACAAAGCAUUUGUCGCUGGAAUAUAAUGAACUCUUUAAAAAGGAAAAAGAAAAACGAAACUCCAAAACAAAAAUAAGGAUGAUGCUUGGCACGAAUUGAAAUUUAUAAAAAAUAUUCCUAUAUUAUGUUAUAUCACAAGUAAUGAGUGAGCAUUUACACGAGUAGAUCAACUUUGAUAUUUAAAUUGAGUCUUAUAUGUCACAUAAAUGAUCAAACUUGUAAACUAUUAUUAGCAUACGCAGUAUUAUUAAAUAAAAGAAAUGAAGUUACAACUUUUCUAGGGCAAUCAUUGAGUAGACAAAUAAAGCAAUUGUACAAUUCUGGUAAGGUGGCUGAUCUUGUAUUAUAUAAGAUCAACACUUUGAUGGUUGAAUUAUUCUAAACUAGAUCUUAUUAACAAGUACCCCCAGCGACAUUAGUUAAAGUACUUAAAAAUAACAACAACCCAUAUCAACCAAUUCUGAAAAUUGAAGAGGUAUAUAUUUUAAAAAAGACGAAACUCUUUUGAUAGAAAUGUUUAUAUUUUCAAAGCACAAUUGAUGAUCCUUAACAAAUGUCUCCCGUUUUUUUUUUUUUUUUGGUUGGAAAUGUCCCCCGUCUGCCAAGCGUUCUCAAGAUGGUGGUUAAUACGAAUUUUCUUUUAAGCAUUGCGAUUGGGAUUCAUUUUAUUUUUCUUAUUUUCUUAGGCAUUAGUCAAUGAAGAUGUUAAUGGGGUUUUAACUUUAAAGACAAGAUUAGUCAAACCACGGCUGGAGUCAGAAUUGAGCUUCGGAGGUUGAAGUCGACAAAAAAGCAAGUUUUGUCGUUUCGUGCAGCAAGAGAAGCGUGCGGUGCAGAUGAGCAGGUCAACUUGGACGACUUUUCGAGGGGAUACGAUGGAGUGGUCAAAUUUUGUUCUCCCCAAACACGGACAAGAGCAGUUAACUGUGAACGUUCAAUGCACUAGAUACAUCUUGCGCACAGACGUAAAAAAUUGACCGAAAUCAAUUGAUGAGACGGAAGUUUCCUCAGUUAUCGACGUGAUUUAUUCAUUUAUUUAAAUAUUAAUUUUAAUUCGGGAGAAAUUUGGAAUGACGGUAAUUUCAUGUAAUGUUGAAGGAGUCUUUUUAUCAACCCAUAAGAGUUUAAUCAAGGACUUUUAUUUGGUACUCAAUAUUUUGAUUGGAUGCUAGCUGUGAGAUGGGCUUGCAUAAAAUGAACCAAUUACCACAAGAAUAUGCAAUACGAUAAAAAAGACGAUGAGAGAAACGGAUCGAGAAACGGAUCCCAUAACUUAACUUUGUAUUAUUCACACUGUCCUUUUGAAUGGAUAAACUGAAAAUGCUCGAAUUUAGAGGAUCACUAUUAGUUUUAUGGUCUUUGCUUAGGCUUUUGCAUUUUUUCCAUUACCUAAUUUAAAUACUUUAAUUGCCCAGCCUUUUAGACUUUUUUGAUAAAAUGAAAGGUCUGUGAUUUUUUAGGAUAUAUCAAAAGAGGAAGUCUAACAUUUAGAUCUCCCCGUUCCUUUUUAUUUGCUUCAUUAACUAUAAGACGAUCGCACAUUAAACUUAAAUACAAGACCAUAUCCCAUUUCCAAACUAUAUGGGAGAGACGCAUUCGAGAAUUCGAAUUAUUUUUUAUAAUUUGAUAGCAAUCCUCUAAUGCUCCAAGCUAGCAACUGUUAUUAGUAAAACAAUCCUUUUUCUUUUUAAAUCAAGGAUGGAUAACUUUAAUAGACAAAAGGGAAAAUGACACAGAUACAUUAAAUUUUUGCACAUGAAAAUCACACCCUAGCGCUACUACUCUUCCCAUACCUGUCCACAAAUUCGAACUUUAUAUGGCUAAUUAUUUCAUGAUGAAAAUAUAAAUGCCCCGAGUUCAAUACUAUCACAGCUGGUGUGUCAAUAAUAUUGUCCACACUUCCAGUUGAUCGAAGAAAAACUCGAGAUAUUAUGGACUUCCGGAUAGUUAACUCUUUCAUUUGUGCCCUAAAUUAUGAAAAUAUGUCAUUAGGCUGCAAAUAGGUGAAGAUAAAUUCGUCUUCUUUGGCACCCAGAUUGCAAUUCAAAUUUGUUAAGUGAAGGAUUAAAUUCAUUGGAUUUCUAAGCUACAAUGCCCACUUUAUCAUGUAUAUCUAACAUCACGCCCAAAUAAAUUUCUCAGUGCAACAUGUACCAUGUUUAAUGAACAAAACUUAGAAAAAGUAAAAAGAAUGAUAUAUACGUGAUUAGUGAGGACCCAUUGAUCAAAUGAUUUGUAUAUUCUAGUUGUCCACUAGAUUUAUGCAGCAUAUAAAUAAUAAAAAUUAUCCAAAACAACUAUACUCCAUUCAGGUUGUGAGGAUUCAAUGAGAGGAAUCACAUCAAUUUGACGAAAAAGAACAAGAAAUUUCCAAUCGAAAAGGGCAAAAGAGCAAAGAGACCUGCAAAUGGGCAGCUUUUUUUCCAAAUUAUCAAAUGCCAAGUUGUUAGGAAAAUAAAGCACUACCGACAAUGUGGCCAAUAGGAAAAGAGAGAGAGAGAGAGAAGAUCAACAACAUAUUUUUCUUGAUUUUUAUUUGCCCCCCAUAGACAUCUAAAUUUUCUCAAAUUAUCCCCUACGGGACCCUCAGGCCCAUCCCAUGAAUAUUCACAAACAUCAAGAAUGAUGUUUGGUGGUGGUACUGUGCGGUCAUAUUCUUCCGAUUCAGACAGAACAGCAACUAGCAUGCACCGACAAGAAGACAAUCUUUUGUAGUUCCCCUACUCAACUUGCUCCUGUUCUUCUAGAACGUGGCCGAUCUCCAAAAGAACUAUAACAGCACAAGAUAGCACGACAGAAGAUGGGUUCCAUACUAAGCCACCUCAAGAUAAAUUUUUGGGGACCAAGAUCCAAGAUUUUCCAAUGUUUUGGUUAAUUCAGGAAGUAGAAUUCAGUCGACCAAUCUCGUUGGAUUUACAGGUCUUAGAUGUGGGCAUCAAGGUCACGCAGAAAUGUUAAGGAAAGGAAGAGGCAACAUUAGGGUUUUGGGGUUUGUCAAAGAUGGAGGGUUCAAAAGAGCUGACAUUGUCAGGGGAGGGGGAACGGAACAAGGGUCACGGAUGUAAAGUGCAUGCAUCUGCAAUUCUUGAUACAACAUGAAAAGAAAAAUGCAUUAUGUGCAUUCAACGAUAGGGCAUUUGUCAUGAAAUGCAGGUGAUUUUUGAAGAUGUCCAUGAGUAUGGGCUAGAGUCAGAGAAACCCUCCUCACCAUAGCCCAAGUUGAGCCCUUUUUUUUUGGGAGGGGGGAGCAUAAUUCCCAGUCGAGCCUUCUUUCUAACGGAGAAAGGUGAGAAUUCUGACCACAUCCGCAUCAUUGAAAUAAUCAACGAUUAAUAAUAUGAUUCAUUUAUCAAGAUAAAAAAUUGGGUACAUAUCAAUGUGUAAAUUUCACUUGGGUAAUAAUUUUUCUUCAUGUCGUGAGUAUAUCCAAUUAAAGUCCAAAAAUAGCAAUUAAUCAAAAUAGCCCUUUUCCAAGUAGUAUCAGUUAAUUUUGGGGAGUCAAGAUUGACGAGUAUAUUUAUUUCAAACAAGAAAGGGGAGAUGAAAUCACAUUCACUUUCUACAACGAGUAGAGAAAACUCUUACCUUGUUUCCAUCAAUUACAUCCGCGGCCUCCUCAGAAUUCCAUACUCUGCUCCGCUUUUGAGGCUCCUUUGGAUUUUCCAGACGAACAAUUUCCCUUCCAAGAUCUCUCAAUUGAUCAUGCAUCAUCAGCAUUUCGAAUUUGUCAAUUUUAAUUAAGGACAUAAGACUCAAUACUUCAAUCCCCCUCCCCGGGAGAAAACUACUGGCAUCCCACAUGUAAGUUGGAUUUUGUUUAUUUGAAUUGAUGAAAAAGCAUGCAAUAUCCAAAAAUAUUUGUUGUUCCUCAUCAUCUAAUGCUUCGUAACUUAUUUUCAACUUCUCUUGCACUUUCUUAUCAGGCACUUUCUUUAAUUUCUUUAAUGUAUCUUUCCAUACUUCUUCUCUCUUUCCAUAUAAGAAUGAACCAAUAACUUCAAGAGCUAAUGGAAGCCCUCCAGUAGUAGAUACCAUAUGAUGAGAGAUAAUCUUACAAUCAGUCAAAGGAGAAUCCUUUCGAAAUGCAUGUCUACUAAAUAAAAUCAGUGAUUGAUCAGAAGGCAACUCUUCGAGUUGGUACAUAUAGCCCGCCCUACCUUCAUCAAGAAUGCUUUUGUUUCUAGUUGUGAUGAUGACUAUACUUCCCGCUUCAAACCAACUACCAUCCCCGACCAAAGCACUCAAGUGCGUACAAUCAUCCAUAUCAUCUAAAAGAACAAGAACUUUCUUACUUGUAAAUCGAGAUUUUAUGAUAUUGGUUCCUUCAUCGACAUUAGACACCUCACACAAACUUCCUAUUAUGGCAGAAACGAGUUGCUUUUGCACACACUCAAUACCCUUACGCUGAUAUGUUUCUCGGAUAUUUGCAACAAAGCUACGAUAGUCAAAUUGACUAGAAAGUUUGUUGUAUAACACCUUUGCAAGAGUUGUCUUACCGAUGCCGCCCAUUCCAUAAAUUCCAAUAAUCCUUGUACCAUUGGAUUCGACAUCUAUCUUGCUCAUAAUCUGUUGCACAUGAUCAUUGAUUCCCACCAACUGUUCGGGAACAUUUAGCUGAAAAAAUCUUUUUAACUCGCCCAUAACUUUUUUGACAACAAUAUCCACCAAUGUUCCUUCGUGCCUGUCAAGUAAUGAUGAAUAUCAAUAUAGGAUAGCAAUAUGUAUAUUCUUUUUCAAGAAAUAUCUAUUUAUGAAAGAUUAAACAAUGUUUUGUUGGAGAAUAAGGUACCCGUUAUCAAUUUUCUCCGAUUCCCAUCCUUUCAAGAAGCUGACUUCUUUAAGUGCUUCUUCCCAUUCUUUCAUAACCAUUUCAUCCAUAAUCUUUUUAUGUGCAUUGAUAGCAUCUCUCAAUCUCCCCAUAGGAUGUCGCACUUGCAAGGGUUCCACUUUGUAAAAUAUGGGCAACACUAUCUACCCUUUACUUCUCUUGCACUUCAACAUCUCAACUAGCUCGCGGAGGCACCAUUUACUUGAGGCGUAGUUCUCCGAAAUAAUUGGGAUCGAGAUCUUAGACUUGGUAAUACUGCAAAGAAGCUCCAAACCAAUCUCCUCACCAACACGGAGCUCAUUAUCGUCUCUAAACACACCAAUUCCUGCAUGGUUAAGGUAAUGAUAAAGAUGAUCGGUGAAGCCUUUGCGAGUGUCUUCCCCUCUAAAACUCAAAAACACUUCAUAAUCAUUUCCCCUCGGCCUUUUGGUUCCACCUUCAUAAUCACCUCCAUGUGGAGAGGUUGAUGAGGAAGACGCCUCAUAGAUCGGAUCUUUUGAAUUAAAGGGUUCUUUUCUUUUCAUCUCGAGAGGAUUGUAGAAGCGAUUGAUGGAGAAGGAAACAGAGAGAAAUAUGGAAUCCCAAAUUUGAGAGUAGCAACCGACCAAAAAAAAUCUGAGAAUAGCAAAAAUGUCUCCCAAGACUCAAACUCGGAGCUACAUUCAAACAAAAAUAGAAACUCUCAGACGACUCAUCAGAAGAAAAUAGAGCAAUCAAAGCAGGAAAUAGAGAAGUACAUGUAGCCAUCGAUUACCUUAGGAGUGGUCGAACGACAUGACCCACCCACUGUCGGGAUCCACACCGAUCGUCAGCCUUCGACGUUGGAUUACAAACAUACAAACUCUUUACUGCGCGUUCUUGAACAAUGCUGAUUCUUGACUGCUAGGUGCUUAAAGAAUGAUGGUCAUUGCACUCGUAAUAUUUGCAGGAUUAUGCAGAAGUUGCGGGGAACCUUUCCAAUGGCUUCUUGACUUGACUUGCUUUUUUCUUUUCCUUUGGGCAAAAAAGUAAAAAAGAAAACCAACUUGCAAUAAAGAUGCUCCUAGUCCUUGUCCUUGCUUUUUCUAUUGUGCGCAACCAACUUGCAAUAAAGAUGCUUCUAGUCCUUGCUUUUUCUUUUGUGCAUGCUCGAACAAUGCUGACCACUUGACGAAUGCCGAGUUAUUGCACGCGUAAUUUCGUCAGCAUUAUGUGGAAAGUGCGUGCAACCUACGCAGGUGCUUUGAUUGAAAUUUGAGAUCCAACACAACUUGACUUGACUUGCUUUCCAUUAAUAAACGGAAUCGUCGGGGAAAUGUAACGCGAAGGCGAAGCGAGCAAGACACCAGAAUAACGUUGCUUCAUGCUAAAACGGAAGGGUAAAGUAGUGUGAAGCACAAGCUACAUGAGGAGUUUAGGAAAUUGGUGCGACUGAGCAGAGAAUCUCUGGAAUUGAGUAGUGAAUUUUGGUAGAGGUUGUGUAGGAUUGACAAGAAUAGUUCCAAAGCUAACUUAAAGACUUGGACAAAUGCAUUUUCAGCAUCGAAUAUGGGUCAUUGCCUAAAUAUUGAUUGUUAAAUUGAAUGUAUAUUAUUGCGUAAAUCCCGCUAAUGAAAUUAUUAUCUCACAUUGCCUAAUUAAAUGAUGAAAUGAAUGUUGGGGUUUUUUUUUUUUGGAUGAUAAUAGAUCAAUUCAAGUGCUACGUUUUCUUUCAAAUGUUAGACAUUCAGCUGAUUUCAGCUUCAAUUUCAUGACCUUUUCCACGAAAAUCACUUGGCAAACCGCACCAGAAAAGGUCAUGAAGUGACCAUGAAUUUGCUUCCAUAAGAUGCAAGAAACUUCUGGCAGGUUUUCGAGUGAGCUUCCUUGAAACCCUCGUCACCUCCAUGCUGUGCUCACAUUAUUCCGUUUUAUGGAUGUGGGGACCCGAAUGUUAUUAUGAUUCUCCGACAUUCAAGAAAGCGCAAAAGCUGUGGGAUCAGACCUGCAAAAGAGAAUCCACGACUAAGGCCCAAUGGCCACCGGUAGCGCUCCCCCUUAUUAUUCAUUUCGGUCUCGAAGCAAGCUGUGUUUGUGUGGUAGAAUCCCUUUCUUUCUUAAACUAGUCCAUUAGUUGUUCUAUAAUCUCUUUUGUGCGGUCAAAUCUUCAUCCUCUUAAAACAAAUAGACAGCACAAGCCGGAGGAGGAGGAAGCAGAUGGUAUCAGGAUGACUGAGUUGCUAGGUUGCGCAAUACCUCGGCCUUCCAAGGGACAACAUCACAUGUUUGUCUCCAUGGCAUGUUUUGUUACACAAACAUACACAUCGAUUGUUCACCGGAGCAUGUUGUGGAUAAUGGCCGAUGCACUUCAAUUGGAAGUCAAGUGUAGUUCCAUCCAUUUGAUGAAUGAAAUUAAAGUUUAGUUGAUUCCAAUUGAUGAUGACCCCUAUGCUAGCAACGAUGCAUAAAUUGCCCUAUGCUUGUGGUCUAUUUAGCAAGCAUGCACCGUUGUGAUAAAAGGAAAAGCUGCUUUGCUUGGAUACAUGGAGUUGCUUGGAUACAUGGAGGAAAGGAAGAUAUAAUUUUUUUUGAAUUUUCCUGCCACGUCUUCUCAGGAAAGUUGCAAGAAUUUACUUCAUUUCCCUCCUUUUCCCCUCCUUCCCAAGUAAAGCAUUAAGGCAGUACCUCGGAAAAUCAAAGCAUAUAUAUAUGGAAGGAUGAAAUAUAGGGCGGUCUUGCUUUCUUCACAGAAGACUGUUUACCCAAAUGAGGAUUAAAUUCUUAAUAUAUGCUGACUAACUCAGAUUAUAAUACAUUCCUCUAACUGCAGGAAUAUUGUAUACAUGUAGAUCGGCAAUAUGAACAGGGAAAUUGCCUUUUUUGAAUAUUAGUUCGGGUUGGUUUGUGCAAAUGGCAAAACUCAAAAGUGUUGCAUUUGAGUCCUUCUAGAAGGGGCAAAUUCAAAUAGGAGCAAGUAGACAACAGCAAAUUAUUAAAAUCUGGCUUUAUGUGAUUGACUAAGAUAAGAAAUUACAACAGCCUUUAUUCAUUAAAUAAAACACAGGUUUUUGUCAUGGACUUAUGACACACUACGUACUUGAAACCAAGCUUGUCUAAAUCAUGAAAUCCUUCAAGUCAUGCUCUAAGAUAUAGGACUACCAAAAUUAUUUUUUCAUGACAAUAAUAGACUCCCAUAAAUUAAUUGUCAUGUCAUGCUCAAAGCCCUGAUUUUAUAAUUUUUGUUGAUCUUUCUACUUUAUUUUCGAAUGGCCAAUCAGAUGAAAAAGUUACUAUUUACACGUCCUUUCUAUAGGACUAAAAUCCCAAUUCCACAUUCACGGUACGCUCCAAUCCAAAUCCCCAUAAAAGAGGUGGUCUCUGAUUUUGCGGAAUGCAAAAGAUAUUCUAGAAAAGAAUAUGAAAUGCAAUUUUUCACAUCGUAAACUGUAUUUGUUUUUUCUAAUGGUGCUUUUGAUAAUUGGGCGUGCUUGAUGUAUAAAUCCCUCCCUAGAAAAAAAAAUGAAAUUCAGGAUGUAAUCAGGGCAAAUUUUUUUUUUGUCAAUAAUAUUUUUCUAUUAAAAAAUGAAAUCCAGGACGUAAUUAGGGCAAAAUUUUUUUUUGUCGGUAAUAUUUUUCUAUUAACACCAUAUAUCUUAAAUGGAGGUUCUUGAUGGUAAAUUGUUAGGCUAGUUUUCUCGAGGUGGGACUGUUUCUGAGCCCGCGCUUUGGUGCACAUUUCUCAUGCCAUAUCCAUUGCCAGCUAUUCAAUCAAAACUUAUUAGUGUCAAUUGUCGAAUUGAAUAUGAUAAAAUUAUUGUGUUCAAAGUCACUAGAUCAUUGCAAAGUGUGAAAGAUAUAAGAAUAUAUGGCACAUCUAUUAUAAUGUACUACAUUAUGGCAGGCCAUAGUAACCAAGGACAACGGCAUAAUAACGUAGAAUAAUAUUGUUUUAUGACUUUACAAUGUAUUAUUGUAAUCAAUGUUGAUAUGAUGUAAAAUAGAGAUAUGCACCUAAGUAUUUUCGGAAGAUGAAUAGAGUCAACACUGAUGCAAGGAAAAAAAGGGUUAAUAUCCUCAAAAAUCCUAAACUGGUUCAUUUGACCAAACUAAUUUUUUGAUCACCAAACACAUUUGAUAAAUUUAUCUUAAACUAAUAUAUUUAUGACAAAUUUACUCUUUAUUAGUUUUCGUUAAGUUUUACCGUUACAUUACUAAGUUGGAUCAUACAUGACAGUUGACUGGUGUAUCAAUUAGAGAUUUUACUCUUCGUUUGUCAUGGUAAUAUAAUUUUUGUGAUCUUUAUGGUAUUAACCCAAUUUAAUGGAGGAUAUGUUUGAGUAAUCGAACAAAUUGAUUUGGGAUAAAUUUAUCACAAGUGUACUAAUUUAAGAUUUUUUUUUAAUUAUUUUGGAUAAAUUUGUUACAAAUGUAUUAAUUUGAGAUUUUUCAUGAUCAAAAAAUUAAUUUGAGAUAAAUUUAUUAUACGUGUAUCGGUUUGAAGUUUUUUAGGUAUUAAUCCAAAAAAAAAAAAUGAUAAAGUGUAGGGAGAAAUGACGUCAUACCACUCACUCUCUGCUGCGCGUGCUUGAAGAAUUCUUAGCUCUUGCCAUCGAACGGUCCAAGAAUCUUAAACUAAUCGAACCGCUGCGUUUGCAAUGGAAAGGGCAAUUAUUGCACGCACGAUUUCCAGGGCAUUGCGCAGAAGGGGCGUGGGGACUACCUAGGCGCUCUUUUUUCCAAAGCAAGCACAACUUCGACUUGACUUGCUUUUGCUAUUAAUUAAACAAUUAGAAAAUAAAAAGCAAAAGGGCAAUUAUUGCAGGUGUAAUUUCUGCAGUGUCAUGCGGAAGGUGCGUUGAACCUCCCGACGCAUGUGCACCUUGACUUGACUUUGCUUUUCGAGGUGAAUGAAGAAUUGAAAAGAAAACCUACCAGCAACGCUGAUGCUCAGAUCAAAGGUCGGCCAAAGAUUAGAUGCACACUUCUCCCGAUUUGAAUGGAGCUAUAAGUAUAGUCGGACAUUUGAUAUAUCAAAUAAUGACCAGAAAAUCUACGGUAUAUGAGAAUUAUCAAGAUAAUUGAUAAUCGAUUGAUAGUAAAUGCAUGAAGUUUUAUUUGUCCUUACCCGAGCAAGUUAGAAAAUUACAACAAUUUUGUUUGCACAAUCAACAAUUAAUUGAAUUACGGUAUUACAUUCCAUCGACCUUUUUUUUUUUUUUUUUCCUUUUCAUGGACUCACAAGACAUUAUAGUUGGUCCUUUCAAGUGGGUGGAAUUACGGGUUUAUACAUUUAGUGUCGCAUUUAGAAAUUCUUAAUCAACAGGUUCUCUGCACCAUCUAAUAAUUAUUUAGUGAAUAUCCGUUUCCUUUUUUAUUCAUUUGGUGUUUAGCUUUUUGGGUAAAUAUUUUCAGCCAACGGCUUCUCCACCAAAGUGCACUUUUCCUUUGCACGGUAUUAAGCUUCUUCAAAACCUGAAAUGAUUAGAUAAUACAGAAAAAAAGCUCAACGGCUUAGUAUGCGAGUGACUGACCACAACUCAUCAUUCUAGGAUCAACAACUUACAAGUAAGAAGAUUAAAAUUGAACGCUAUCACAUGAUCAAAUAGUGAUUAGAAAAGGAAAUCCUGUGUGCUCAUAUAAAAAAAAAACAAAAACAAAAAAACAAAGUAGGAAAAGAAAAUCCACUAAUUAAUGUAAUACACAAAUUCAUUUGGAUAAAACCUUGUUGCUCGAAGACACAAUUGCAGGAUCACAAUCAUAUAUCUACAACAACGUCCAAAAAAGUUUCUUUAAUUGACCCUAGUUUAGGAUUAUGAUUUAAACUUGAAAACAGUAUAAGAUCCCCAUAAAGGAUAUGCCAUGACAUGUAUCCUAAACUAGACAUGAAAAAAGAAGUAAUGUGAUCCAUAAAUUAAUGGGGAACAAAAAGUAAAUAUUUGGGGCAGCAUGGGAGAGAAUCUAGAAACAGAAGGUGAGAAACCGAAGAGGAUUCCACAAUAUUAGAUUCUAGAGCACAAGCACCAAGCCUGAGAUCUUGCAUCCCAACAGAUUGCCUAGAGCCAAUUCCCAUGUCGAUAUGCCAAGCACAAUCUUUUUUUGGAUAGAUAUACAUAGAUGGCAUGUCACAGCUACACGAAACGACAUUUCACGAUCAUACACAUGGGAGGAUAUCCCUGCAGUAUAAAAUCUAACCCUUAAGGUAAAGGUUGUUAAGAUUAAUCCAAAAAUGAUUGAAAUUGGACUUUGGAUCAAUGAUUGUAAGACUACAGAAACUUAAGGUCUAAAGUGAUAGAUUCUUUAUCUUUUCUUCUGCACUAAUACCUGCAUGUCAUCUUUGAAAAAAGAGAAUGAAGUUCGAAAGUAGAAGACAAAAGCAAGAGCAUCACCAUAGCAGAAGCACAUCACUGAAGAAACUCUCAUGCCUAUUAGAGAAAGUCAACUAGAGAAGCAUAUGGGGCAUGAGUAAAGAAGGGAAUAAAACAAACGCAAAACCAGAUGAUGGCAACGAAAAGAAGAAGACAGGAGGAUGAAGAAAAUAGAAAAGGUAAAGAGGCAUGUGCUACUAUACAAAAAAGAAUUCUGUUCCUAACCAGAAAAGAUGGCUGCAGUACAAAAGUGUUAGUAUUGUGCUACAUUGCUGUCUGUGGACACACAUCAGACCUUUCAUUUACCCCAAUCCAAGCUCUCAUGAAGGUAGAGCGCACUUCCAACUCCACCAAUAAAAGGUUAUUCUUACAUCAGAGAAAAGCUUAUGGAUUCUCCCAAGUCUGUAUAGAAAGUAUAUUCAGCCUUGCCACCACCAACAAU
Molecule: long non-coding RNA, 58732 nt
Filed under: Eucalyptus grandis
Lineage: Eukaryota; Viridiplantae; Streptophyta; Magnoliopsida; Myrtales; Myrtaceae
Description: long non-coding RNA (EGRA_LNC001454)
Source: RNAcentral